Molecule: long non-coding RNA, 50609 nt
Filed under: Populus tremula
Lineage: Eukaryota; Viridiplantae; Streptophyta; Magnoliopsida; Malpighiales; Salicaceae
Description: long non-coding RNA (PTRE_LNC002642)
Source: RNAcentral
UGACAUCUACUCUUCUUUCUUCACAAACUCCUUAUCUCCCACCAAGAAUCCAACCCUUCCUUCAUCUUCAACAAAGCCUUCACAUUCCUCUUUGCUGCCAUUAAUGAUCCCAUAGCUCGCAUAGUAACCUUGAUCCCUUGCUCUUACUUCUCUCACAAAUGGCGGCCACCAACUCUCUACAGUCCCUCCAUCACCAUCACUCCCUCCUCAAGGUCCUCCCCUCGGACACCUCCCCGCCCUCCUCCCUCUUCCUCAAGCCCACCACCUCCAUCUCCACUGCCACUAACAUUUCUCUCUCCCUCUCUACUUCAACAACCACCACUGCCUACUCCAUCUCCCCUGCAACCUCCACUGCUCCCUCCACUUCCAAGACCUUCUCCCUCGACCUCCUCCAGCAACACCUCUCCGACCAAAACUUCCGCGAAGCCGAUGAGGAAACCCGCAGGCUGCUCAUAGUUCUAGCUGGUGAGGCGGCACAGAAACGUGGCUAUGUCUUCUUCUCUGAAGUCCAGUUCAUACCAGAACAAGACCUUAAGGACAUUGAUGAACUGUGGAAAAAGUACAGCAACAACAAAUUUGGAUACAGUGUUCAAAAGAGAAUAUGGCGACAAAAGAGUAACAAGGACUUCACCAAAUUUUUCAUCAAAGUUGGGUGGAUGAAGAAGCUUGAUACCGAGGUUGAGCAAUACAACUAUAGGUCUUUUCCUAAUGAGUUCAUUUGGGAGCUUAAUGAUGAUACUCCUGAAGGUCACUUGCCUCUGACAAAUGCACUUAGAGGGAUACAGCUGCUCAGCAACAUUCUUAGCCAUCCUGCUUUUGAGGUAGAUGGAGAAGUGGAGGAAGAUGAGGUUGAGGGCAAUGAAAAUGGAGGGCUUAAGGGAUUGAGGGAUAGCUCAAAGCCUCCAUUAAGCAACAGAGUAUUUAAAACAGAUUACAGCUUCUGAGUAUGAAAUUUGAACACAACAAAGAUGGGAUUUGGGUUUUUUUUUUUUUUACAUACAUGUAAUGGAAGUUGUUGAUCGACUGCUUUCUUUUUUAUUUAUUUAUCUUUAUUUCCAUGCUUCUGUUUAUUUUGACCUUUUCUGUGAACAAAUAUUAAAUAUAAAUAUGCCCAGAUCGACAGAAUGGAGGAAACUAUUGUUGUUUACUUUUAGUGCAACGGGGAGGCCUGCCUUCCAGUACCUUUGUUUGCCUAUCUACUCCUUGUGAAAUUAGCUCGAGUACAAAUGGGGUUUUGCUUCAUCAAAAUUAUUUUAAAAAAAUAAUAAUAAUAAAAAAAAUAUAUUUAUCAAGAUAAUCAUAUAAAUAAAUACAAAGAUUAAUUUCUAAUAAAAUAUUAAUUCUUGAUAAAUUAAAUAUUAAAUAAUAAAAUUAAAAAUAAAAAUUUUAAAAAAAAGAUCAAGAUUAACUCAUAUCAACUUUUAAAACUCGUGACGUUAAUUAUAAGUCCAGAAUCCAGUCCCGUAAAAACUAAAUCUUGAAAAGUAAAAAAGUAAGGUUAUAAAUCAAUAAAAUAUUAGGAGAUGAAAUUAAAAAAAUAUAUGAUGAAUAAAACGGAAAAACAAUAAUUAUAUUAUUUUAAUAAAUAAAUAGUGAUAUGUGUUUAUAUUUACAGUGUUUUCUCAAUGUUCUUCACUUUUUUAAUACAGUUCUACUUAAUUAUAUUUUUAUAUUAUCAUAUACAAGGUUAAAUGAAAAGUUAUAUAUAAAUUAAUGUUAUUAAAUCCGUUCCCAUCUAACAGGAUAGUCUAAAUUUUAGUUUGGAUUGGGAAUAGAAACUAUUUAGCUUGUAACUUGAGUACUUCAAUUAAAUUAUAGUUUGAUUUUUUAAAAAAAAACUCAAAACAAAUCGUUUAAAUUUUUUAAAAUAAAAAUAACAUGUUUAGAUAAAUUAAAUUAAAUGGUAAAUUAUUUAAUAAGUAAUUUAAUAAUAAAAAUUAAAAAUUAAAAAAUUUGUUUUUUUUAUAAUUUUAAGUUUUGGAUUGUAAUUGCUAAUAAAAUAACUACUAGAAAUUUAUAUAAUUAUUAAUUUUAAAAUUUAUAAAAUUAAUUAAUCUACGUAGCGUAGAUAUAUCUAUAAAAAUAAUAAAAAAAACAUCAAAUUUAUUACAGGGUCGUAGAACAGGCGAAGUUUAAUAAAUUUGAUAUAAACUUCCCAAGCCCAACGACAUCAUCACUUCAUCCUUGUCUCGAAGAAAAGAAGAAAAAAAAAAUGUCAAGAAAUCAGCAGCACCUUCUCCGGCUGGUCCUGUCUUGCCGAAAAAUAACAGCUCAGGUAUCGAACCCGACGACUUCCACAAUAAUCGCGAUGGCUUCUUCCUCCGAACAAGAAUCAUUCCUCUCUAUCUACCGCAACACUUCCCUCUCUAUCUUCUCUCGCCAGUCCUGGGACUCAAAAACGGCGUCGCGUGUUGGGGAGAAGCUAGGGUUUAGAUUAAAGGAAAUCGGGGUUAAUAAUAUCUAUGUUGAUUUAAACGAAGAGUUGUCAAGGCCGAUUCAUUAUAGAAAGCGUGUGUUGCCGUUGUUUGAUUCGGUGAAACGCGUCGGCAUUGAAGUUGAUGGAGCUGAGAAGCUAGGAGAGAUCGGUCCUGUUUGAUGGGUUGUCAGGAUUUGAUUGUUUAGUACACAUUUUUUAUAAAGAGAGGUACUUUUCUUGUCUUUAAUUGGUUUUCCUGUAUUUGAUUUGAUCUUGAUAAUUGUAGAUUAUGAUGAAAUAAAUAUCACAUGAAAAUGAUGAUUUUGAGUUUUUUUGUUUCAAUUUUGUGAUCAUUUUGUUUAAUUUUUAUCAAAUUAUUUGCCAAAGUUAGAAUCUUGAGAUACUGUAUAGCUGGCUCAGUUCGAGAAGGGCUUCUUAGGAGUUAUGUUAUGGGUCUGUAGCUGAUUGAGGAUAAAGGGUAUUGGGUAAUUGAGGUACGUUGUGGUUUGCAGUAUUGGUACGGGUACAGGGUGUGAUGUUUCGAGAAUACAUGGUAGGAUAAGGGUAGGCUUAGUGUUACUGGUUUGCGGGGUCAUGUGAAAUUGAGUGUAUUUGCUCGGUUUGUUUUGAUCUAUAUGCGAAAGAAAAUAGUAAGCUUUGGAUUGUUUGAACAAUGUAAGUCUAGUUCUGGAAUCUAGUUUGAAUGCAAGUUUGUUUCGUAAUGCUCGAAUUGUUUGCUAGUUUUCAAGUUAUUCCCUCCUUAAAUGCUUCUUCAACAUUUUUUUAUGAUCCAAUUCUGAUUGCAAAUGCAUCACGAACCCUGAGCCUUUUUUUCUUUUCAGGAGGGCAUGUGAAUUGGGUAAUACUGGGUGUAGAAAUGUUAUCUUUUUGCAAGUGGAUUUCAAGUAUUGUUUGUUGACCCUUUCCUUUCUUGCCAAGAUCAUGAUUCUGUGGUUGUCAAAUUUUAUCUUUUGAUCUUUAGCAUUGGGCAACUCCUCUAUUGAGUUUGAAAGUAAACCUAAAUGGUGUUGUUUUGCUUACUACUGUUGCCUCUUGAGAGUUCAAAUAUCUUAGUAGCUUUCCUCCAUGAUCCUUUGCUGGAUGUUUUGUGUCUGUUUGGUGAAUUUCUAAGAUUCUUGUAUCUGCUUGGAUCCUUUACAAGUCAGCAUUGUGAUCCUUAAACAGGUGAAAAAGUGCCUAGGAUGUUGAAAUAGAUGGGGAAAAAAAGAGAGCAAGAAUAAGAGAAGUUAGUGUAAAAGUAAAGAAAGAUGUGGUGAUGAAGUAAGAAUACCAUUUCAUCAUUAGUUACAGUCUUGCAUCAUUUUUCUUACAUUGAGAGAAUAUCAUCUCCUUUUAUUAACAAACUAAGUCUAGAUUGGAGUCGACAUCGUCUUCAUGGUAUUAUUUUCAUGUAUCUGAAUCUUCCCACUCACAUUUGAAUACUCAAGUGUAUCAGCAUAACCCAGAAACCCAAAUUGUCCACUCUUAAUCAUACUAGAGUCAUGUUAAUUGUCUACUCUUAAUCAUAAUAGAGUCAUGUUAAAAUCGCAUUAAGUGAUCCUGAUAUGCAAAAUCACAUUAAGUGCUUCAAAACAAGCAAUAUCCUCCAUCUUAGUCCCAAAUAGCCCAUAUUUCACAACAAUCCCAUCCCACGCUUUGCCCUCGCCCUUUACCAUCUCAAUCCAAUUAAAUUACUCAUCUUCGUCAAAGGCCACAAAUUCAACAUCAAAAACCUCACACAAGACCUUCCAUAAACUCUUUCAUGUAAACACAUCACCAUUGGUGCAGUUGAAGGUUUGAUUCAUUGCUCCAUCAGUCACCGCUGCCCAUAUAUGUUGCUCAGCUAGUACUCUUGCAUCUGACAUGUCACUAAAGUGCUCCGAUGUUUAUUUGUUCCCAGAAUAUCGAAACGAUAACCCUUGGCAUCGGCAAAUAGUGGCAUGGAUAGAUAAAGUGAGCAACAUGCUGUACAGACCUCUUUAAGAAGCUCCUAUUAUAAUCGACGGAGAUGAAUUGAGUAUGUAAUAGAAGGAGAAUACGAUGCAACCAGGUCUUGCAAGGCAUAAUAGAAAUUAGGGUGAGGGAGUCUGUCUAGGUCUUCUUUGAAAGGUGGCUUGUAAUGGACAAGCUUGCCUGUAAGUGAAGGAUCAAAUAUUGGACCCAUGUUUUGAGUCGUGAAGGAGUAGCUGAUUUUAGCGCAUUAAGCACAGUGACGAACAUGUUGGAGUUCAUGGAGAUGUUUACUGCUUCAAUUUCCAUGAAUUUGUAAGGAAACCCAUAAGACGUGGGUGAUUUCAUGGGCCACUGGGAACAGUUUUGUUGUUGUAUCGGCAUGGUCCGAGGCAUAACGGUCGCUCAAGGAAGAUGGAGUUUUUGGCUUGCUGCGCCACACCCUUUCCAUGGGCUGCCUGGAGUUUUUGGCUUUUCAAUUAUUUUUGUUUCUGUAUUUUAAAAAUAUUUUUAAAAAAAUUUAAUUUUUAUUUUAUUUUUUUAUUAAUUUCAAAUUAAUAUGUUUUUAAAUUAUUUUGAUAUGCUGAUGUUAAAAAUAAUUUUUUUUUAAAAAAAAAUAUCAUUGCAAUGCAUUUUGAUAUGAAUAGUUAUUUGAAAAGCAACACAAUUACACUAUCAAAUAAGUUUAAUCCUAUUAGCACCCACAAUUUGGACAACUGAUGCACCUCGGGACUCGGGUAUUCUUAUCUUUUAUUGUUCAUUUUUUUAAAAAAAUAUCACAGGGAAAAAAAUGAUUAUAUAUUUUUAUUAUUUUUUAAAAUUUAAUUUUGAUAUUACCGUAUAAAGAUAAAAAAAUAAAUAAUAAUAAUAAUUUGACAGCUCUCACUCUUGCAUGCAUCAUGCAUAUAAAAUCAAUAGAAAUAGAAUGUGUACUGGAUUAGUUUUUAGAUCGGGGAUGAGCAAAUUGGGCUCAAUCUUUGUUGGGAAGCCCCAAAAUGAGUUCAUACAAAAUCAAGCUUGAUCAAGACUUGGGCCAAAUUUGCUAAAUUUAGUCAUGUUUGGUACAAUAUGCCCCUUUCUUUUCCUUUGAUAACACUUGCUAGGGCACAGCUUGAGCUACAAAAAAACGUUUAGAUUUUUUAUUUUUUUUUUAUUAUAAUCAUAUUUUUAUCAUAACUAGAAUUCCAGAAGAUGUUUGGAUUUGGGACCCAAGUUAGAAUUUCAGUUCUUAGGCUAGACAUUAAACUUGAUUUUGGGGAUUAAUUAUGAUCUAUGCCCAUAAUAGAAAAGAAAGGAAAAAUUAUAAUAGAUUGAGAAAUUGAGAUUUUUUUUUUUAUAAAACUUUAAGAAAUUGAGAGGGGGAGACUGCUUUAGUUCAAGUUAAUCAUAAGAGACUGAGAAAUUAAGAAAUGUGAGAGAGAGAUAGAGAGGGAGAGAUCAAGAACGACACACAAGGAGGAAAAUGGAGUCAAAGAGUGCUGUAGCAAAGCAAAGUGAACACCGCAAUGAAGGGCCAUUCAACUCUUGAGAAGAACAGCAUAGCCCAAGAACUGGCCACAUGGUUUCUGAAAUGCUUCUUAUCAGAGAAGGUGAUAUCAUCAAGCACUUCAAAACUUUCUUCCUUCUUCUUCUUCUUUAGACCUCAACAUAUUCUAAAAAAGAAAAGAUCAAAUGUCGCAUUGUUGUUAUUUAGCAUUGCCACUCAAAUCUCUCCGACCCAGAUCAAUUUGAAUCCCAUGCCAAUUACUGCUCUUAUCGCUAUGAUCAAGAGAAUCAGAGCUAGAUCCUGAUCUUUAUGAUCCUGAAGGUGAUGCUGUUCUUCUCUUGAUCCCGUGACAAGAGUUUAGUCAGGUAAAUAUCUUUUUAAAUUUAAAUUGAAACUCGACUCGGGUGCAAGCGGAGAGGAAAAGGAAGCUGGGUUUUUUUUUAAUGAUUAUUUUGAUGUGAUGACAUUUAAAUAACAAAAAAAAUUAAAAUAAAAAACAUUUUAAAAAAUAACAAUUUAUCACAUUUUCAUAAACUGCCAUAAAAAAAAUUAUAUCUAAUAAUUUUAGAUCAUGAUUUUUUUUCACCUCCAGAAAUGACGAGGAAGCUAGAUAGAUAACUUGUUAAGACUAAAAUGAAAGUUGGAAUACUAAUGUUGGUUGGUUCAAGUGUUUUGAUAUUUAUUUUUUAAAAUAAUAUCUUGAGUUUUAUAAAUAAAAUAUAUUAUUAUUAAAAUAGUUUUAUUUUUUAAUGAUCUAACCCGACUUGACCGGAGUAGUUGAGGAUUAAUAAAUUUCUAGAUACAGGAAUUUUUUUUAAAAAGCUCGAAUAGUGAAGAAAUUGAGACGUUUUCUUUUACCACUUUCCUAGAACUUGCAAGUUGUGGACUAGAGUGCCCUAGUCUAUGGGAAAACAACAAAAGAACCCAGAGAUUCUGGCCAUGAAUCCCAUGGCUAGAGCCCCUAGUUUGCUUUUUGGUGGACAAAACUCCUGGUUUUUACCGGUGGAUCAUGGAAGAGAACCAAAUUUUGGUUCGUAGUGUGAUGGAGAAUCCAAUGUCGUGUUUCCUAAGGCAUCAAAAAGAGAAAGGGACCAGCAUGUCCCUAUGCUGCCAGAAUAUCAAUCGGUCAAUCUAGGCACAUGUUUGAGGUUAACAACCCAUUUAACUUUAUUCUGCUUCCCUUUCCUAGCAUAGUCACAAGACCCCACAAGGCCUUGGCUUUAGCUCAAAGCUCGGGUCAUGUUUUUAGUAUGUAAAUCAACUUAAAUUUUAAUAUUUUUUUAAAAAAUUAUAGAAUAAUAUUGUUUUGAUUAAAAAAUAUAUGAUUUUUUCAUUAGUUCUAUCAUGAUCGGGUCUUUUUGGCCGGGUCUGAUGAUAAUUAGCAAUUAACAUGACCUUAGUUUCCUUUUUAUGUUUUCAUAAAACAAUUAAUAUUUAAAUGAUUUGUUCAUCAUUUUUCUUUAAUUGUAUCUUGAUGAGUAGCAUAUAGAUUAAUAAAUACAUGAUCUCCACCCUAAACAAAUGCACUUUAAGGAUCUAUAAUAGCAUUCAUGCCACUCUUACUUUUGUUAGAGAAAAUAUGCAUCAAUGCAAGGAUGAUAAAUUAGCAAAAUUAUUGUUUAGAAACGCUGUUGAAAUCUAGGUUUUUAAAAUUUUAAUUUUUUUAUUUAAAUUUAAUUUUUUUAUGUUUUCGUAUUGCUUUGAUAUGUUAAUGUUUUGAUAUGUUAAUGUUGAAGAUAAUUUUUUUUUUUUAAAAUGUUAUUUUGAACUACAAUCCCUACUAUAAUCCUAAACACCCUACAAAUGUAUGUGGUGCGAUUAAAUGUUGUUUAUUCACGUAGCGUGGAGGCGAGGAAAAAACCUGAAAAACCGAUUGAACCGAUAAAACAAAAAAAAAUAACUGAAAAAACUAAAUCGUAAAAAAAAAAGAUUAAACCGAUUAGAAUUUAAAAAAAAACUGAUCGGCUUGAUUCAGUUUUAUAAGUCUGAAAUCAAAAAAAUCAAGCCAAACCCAAAUAAAAAAAUCAAGCAAGACCAAAAAAACCAAAUCAAACCGAACUAAACUAAAACUAAUUAGUUUAAACCAGUUUCGAUUUUUUUUAAAAAUUUAAUUUAAUUAUUUUUUGAUAACAACUCAACCAAACAAAAAUUAAUCAUUCUCUGAUAUGGUGUGCCGUGUAAAGAAACACACUUUAAAAAAACAAAAGGUUCAAAACUUAAAAAGUGAUCAAAUUGUCAAAAGUGAAAUAGUGUAGGGAACUUUUGUCCUGCAAUAAAAAAACACUCUCAUGAAUCGCGGGACCGUUAAUGUUUUUGUCAUUACUUGGGUCUUGGGAUUCUUUUCCACGUUUCUUGCAUAGUGGAUUCAGGACUUGCUGCUCUUGUCCAUCUACUAACAUUUUUUAAAACAUGAAUUUAAAGUAUUUUUUUAUUUGUAAUUUGUAUUCAAAUAUUUUAUUUAUUUUUAUAAAAUUAUUUUUAAUAACAGCUUAUAUAUAUAUAUAAAAAUAUAUAUAUAUAUAUAUAACAAUUUAUAAGCUAAAAAAACAAAAAAAAACAAUUAGUAUUCUAAUGCAGAUAAUAUAAAUAAUAAAAAUUAGAACAAGAAAAUAAACAUGUUUUAGAAAAAGAAAAAAAAAAGGAUUUGAGAUAUGUAAAAUCUUUAAUAUUUUUAUUAAUCAUCAAAACUCAUUAACAUUUAGAAAAGGUAAGAUAUAAAUAUUAAAACCCUGACUAAAACAAACGAUUGAGUUUAUGGUCUACUAAAUAAAAUAUCAAAUAAUAAUUAAAUCAAACAUAACAAAUAAAAUUAAAUUAAUAAAUUUUAACUAGAAGUUUAUAUAAAUUAAGUCAAAAAAUAUAAGUUAUAGCAUAAUCUUUUAAUUAUUUGAUUUAUUUUUUAUUAUUUAUAAUAUAUAUAUAUAUAUAUAUAUAUAAAUAAAUAAUAUUUGGGGUUUGGUGUAUUAGUAUAUUCAAUGUAAAUCACAACUUUAAUAACAUCAAUCUCUUUGAAAAAACGAAAGUUUAACGUCGCCGAAAUUAUUGUUGACAGGCCCCACUCAAAAACAAACUUGAAAGUUUUUCUCCAGCAAUUGGCUACUAGUCAACCUAUAUAUAAUGAGUCAACAUUUCUUUUUAUUAAAUUUGACCAAUUUGGAAUGAUUUUGAUUAGAUAAAGUACGUUAUUAAAAAUUCAAUUAGAAUAAUUAAAUUUUACAGAGUUAAUUUCUUAAAAAAGUUUAACUAGAAACCAGCCUGGAUUAGAUUUUGUAUCCGGAGGAAUUUAUCGAGUCAACCCACUAGUUUAAUAAUUAUACCUAAAAUUUGUUAUAAAUAAUCUAGUUUAGGCAAACAAAAUAACAUUAUUGUGUGAUGAUUGUAGUGAUGGGUCUAAAUUAAGAAAAUUAUAAGAAAUAAUAGAGUGAUUUAUAUAAUUUUUAUUUCCUAGACAAGGAAUCUAAUUUAUAAAGCAAAGAACAAUGUGUUACGAAUUUUUUUAUCCUUAUUUGCCCCAUGAUAAGGAGUGUUUAGUUUGGGGGUGAUUUUUAUUUUUUUAAAUAAAAUUUAUAUAAAAAAUAUGUAUUUUUAGUAAAUACAUGAUUUAUAUUUUAAAAGAAUUGUACUUUUAAAAAAAACCCAUCACAAGCCAAAUAUACUUGGAGAUAUAGUGGCUUAUUUUUCAAAUAUAUAAAAUCUUUUAAGCAUAAACCAAUUAUUUAAAAAUUAAAAAAAAUAUAAUUUUUACUAAAAAAUAACACAAGUUACCUCUCAUCUAAACACAUAUCUAUCUAACUUAGGCUAGUCUUGUAUAUUUUCCUUUGACUUCAAAGAAGUUGCAAGAAGGGUUGUAUAUCAACAAGAGAAAUUGUAUGAUGUUUUAUUAGCUAUUUUUCUAGAUGUAUUUUUUUGAAAAAUACCAACGAAAAAGAGAAAUUAUAUAUAAAGAAAAAUUAAUCCAUUCAUAUACUUAAAUCAAGAGUGAUUUUUUUUUAAUAAAUACCAGCCUGUCACAUUAGCAUAACAAUCCAUUUCUAAAAUAAUAACUAUUAUUUAUUAUUGCUGUCCAAAAAAAUAAUUGCAAAAGAAAAAAGACACAGAGAAGAGGAGAGAGAGAUAGAAAGAAAGGCCCUGGGGAAGAAAUAUCAAAUCUCCCUCUUCCCCAUCGUUGGCCUUUUUCUUUGUUUGUUUUCUAAGGUAACAAUUUAUUUUUCAAAAUUGUUUUUUAUUCAAUUUUUUUUGUUAACAUUUGUUUACUGAUAAUUAAUUAAUCUACUUUUUUUCUGGCAAUUAGUAAUUUUUGCAUUUCAUUUUGGCUUUUUACGGGCUAUUUCAGAUCGUGAUGAAACUAGCUUUGGUUAUGUGAAGAACUGUGAUUUUUUAUAUUUCGAUUGGUGGGUUGUUUUUUCUUUUAAUUUAUGUAGCUUAUAGACUUUGAAUUUUGAUUAUUUUUCCUGGGGUUCUGGCAUUUUAUUGAUUUCUAUUUCCUUUACGAGCCAAAAUCCCAUCUGGGUUUUUAAAAUUUUGUUGAUUGUGUCACAAGAAUGUGAAUUUGAUUUCUUUUGGCUAUGUGGGUCAGUGAGUUUUUGGCAGAUUGUUGAUAGUGAAUUUGAUUUGAAUUACUGUGAACUGAAUUUUGGUUUUUUUUUUCCUGGUGUUUGAUUUUGUAGAAGAGGAGGGGGUUUGAAUUUCAUUUGGUGACAAAAUGGGGGUUAUGUCAAGACGGGUUGUGCCCGCCUGUGGUAGCCUGUGUUUCUUCUGUCCUUCACUGAGGGCAAGGUCAAGACAGCCCGUUAAGCGAUACAAGAAGUUGCUUGCUGAUAUCUUGCCGCGUAAUCAGGUGAUUUGUUAUGUGUUUCAUGGUAGCUUGCUUUGUGUUUGCUAGUAUUUUUAUGGGUUUUCUAUGAUUUGGAAGGAUACUGAAUUGAGUUGGCACUCUCUUCUUGUGCUUUGAACCCGUGGUAGUAGUGUGGAUUAAAUGGAUCAUUUGUGGUUGAAAUGCAGUUUAUGUGAUGAUGUAUAUGUGGUUUUAUUUGUACUUUGAUUCAUAAUGCACAUCUAAUCAAAGUGAACUCCAUUUGUAUUGCUACAUUUAUAGCCAUGGCCAUCAUUGGUAUCAUUGUCAAGAAUCAUGAAUGUUUUAUUAGUGAACUUGGUCCAAAUGCCAGUGAUUUUCUAAUUAAGGAAUUUCACCAUCUUGCCAGUAGAAGAAUGUAUAGCUUUGGCAGUUCCUUGUUAAAGCCUCUCAAAGGCUUAUGACUCAUUUCACCCUCUCCAUCCAUCCAACAGGGAAAAGAGAACGUUAUUUUGAUAAAAACAGUGGUGUGGAACUUUGUUUUUGUUCCUUUCCUUUUGUGUUAAUGCAACCGGCAUUUUGCAGGAGGCUGAACCAAAUGAUAGGAAAAUCGGGAAGCUUUGCGAGUAUGCUUCAAAGAACCCGUUACGAAUUCCCAAGGUCUGUACUGAUUAUCCUUUAGGAAUUUCCAAGGUCUGUUUAUUGAUUCAUUGAGAGUCCAUUACCUUGCAGAUUCAUGCAUUUAAAUAUUUCGUCAAGAUUUAACAUUUCAUUGGUUCAGUUAUUUUCUUUAACAAGUUUAAAGGACAAGGAAAAUGCAAGUUUAUAUUUACACGUGAUUGUCCUUUUUACCCUUUCUUGUUAGCAUGCUCUUCAUUUAAUAUUUUUUUAAGUGCUAAUAGUUAGUUAUUUUUCCCUGUUGUAAUUAUUUGGUCUUGAUGUGAACACAAGCCUUUUAUCUUGUCUCACAGCUGAUUCUGGUUAUAAUUGAAUUUUUUAAUGAUCUGCAAUAUCCUAUCUAAAUAUUGUAGAAUUUAUAGGGAAAAGAAAAAAAAACAAAAAACUGGUCAGUGUUCUGCAAGGAUGAUGUGUUCAUGGGGUUCAAUUUUCAAAUAAAAAGUUGUCUUCAACAAGCUCUGUAGUUUCCAUGUACCCGCCAAAUUAUAUAACUUGGUUUUCAUUGGCUAUUAGUUUUACAUUUACUCUGCUCCUCAGAUUACUGAUACCCUGGAGCAAAGAUUUUACAAGGAGUUGGCGGCAUGAGAACUUUGGAUCUGUAAAGGUUGUGGUAUGCAUUUAUAGGAAAUUGCUAUCGUCAUGUAAGGAGCAGAUGUAAGUCUAUGCAUUUUAGACUUGAAAUGACUUGGACUCUAUUUGCCAAAACCACUCAAUUAGAAAGUUGUUGAAUAUAACCUUGAAAUCUUAACUUUUUAAUGUGUACUUGUUAAGUUUUGAAUUGCUUCCACAAAUUAAUGCCACAUUUAGGAUUUUUUCCCCUUAAGCUGCUAAUAAUUUUUAUGAAUAAAGAAUUGUAAGCAUUUGACUAGAAUUUGUAAAAAGAAAAAGAAACUGUACUGAUAAUUGAGAGUAAAAUGAAAAGAUAAUGUAUAUGUGAUUAAAGCUACAUGGUUAGAGAAGUAAAUUGGGACGUUAUUGAUGCCAAUUGAUUAGUAUAUACAGUCAGAAUAACAUCUACAAAGUAAUAUAGACAGUCACAAACUAUUCUUUGGAAUGAUAUUAAGAUCCUUUUGUUUUUUUCAAACAGUAGCUGUUUUUGUUUGAUGACAUUUGCUGGUGCUAUUCAAUACAUGCAGGCCUCUAUUUGCCAGUAGUUUGUUGAGCAUUGUUCGGACUCUUUUGGAGCAAACUGGGAAGGAUGAUUUACGGCUUCUGGCUUGCGAUGUUCUUGUUGAUUUUAUAAGUUGCCAGGUUUGUAAUGGAUAAAGCUAGAGUUGUGAGAGUAAUGUUGACAUAAAGCUAUAUAAAAUGGCACCUAUGCCUAUGAUACUAACUUAUUCAAUAAAAAAAUAGAUGGAUGGCACAUAUAUGUUCAACUUAGAAGGCCUCAUUCCUAAGCUCUGUCAAUUAGCACAAGAAGCUGGAAAUAACGAAAGAACUCUACGUUUGCGUUCAGCAGGGCUGCAAGUGCUGGGCACCAUGGUACAGUUUCUUUUGCCGGUUCAAAUGUCUCUUGUUAAGGAAUUGCCACCCACGGGUGUUUUUGUGAUUUUUUUAUGUUUCAGCAAUCAUAUGAAUUGCUGCUGUUUCUGAUGGUUGGCUUUCCUCUAAAGAUGAGGCACAUGUAGUUUAGAUAAAUGUAUGACUCAGUUGCAUCUAGGUUUUUAGAAAUUGUACUUGAUACUUGAUUUCUCUUUUCUAGCCCCCACCCCCCCUAGAUUUUCUUUGCUGAUCCUAUUUGAUAGUAGAACUUUAAAGGGAUUAGAUUUGGAUCUAUCUAGGAUACUGAUUUGACUUGUUGACAACCCAAGAACCUGGGGACAGUUAAAUUAAUUUCUGAGUUCUGUUUUUUCCACGGGAAGGAAAAUUAAUUUACCUGACUCUUUUUUCCAGUAACUUUCUCUAUGCAUUUUUAUGUUUUAUAUCUAAUAUUUCACUUCUCAUAAUUUUUUCAUCUUUACAAUGGCCUUUUAUCGUUCUCUUGUUAUUGUAUGUAGCCCAAGAUUCUCAUAUUUUCUAUUCUUGAGUACACUUGAUUGUCACUCCUUUGAUGCAUUGAUUGUCACUCCAUUGAUGCAUUCUUAAUUUUAUUUUGUUCUAGGUGUGUUUCAUGGGUGAGCAAGCUCACAUCUCGAUGGAUUUUGACAGUGUGAGUAGACCUUCUUAUGCACCCUUAUUAUCAUAGCCUUUGACAUUAGCAAACACUUGUGACAAUUGUUGGCUUUUGGUAUUAACUGGAACAAGUUUUUUUUUUGGUCUGAAAUAGAUUAUAUCAGUCACUUUGGAGAACUACAUUGAUUUCGAAAUGAAUCCAGAUACAAUGGAAGAUCAAUGGGUUCAAGGUGUGCUUAACACAGAAGAUAAUGGCUCAUCUUUCCCAGACAUAAGCAAGAAGGUUUCCUUAUCAGACCUUACAACCAAGCCUGAAUUGGACCUUGCAAUGUAAGCCUGUUUUAUUGGUUCGAUGCUAUGUGUUUAGAGGCAAUAAUUUUGUUCAAGUAACAUUGUUUGCUUCCUUUUCAUCUAAAACAGGGAUACUUCCAAGAGUCCAUCUUACUGGUCUAGGGUAUGUUUAUGUAACAUGGCUAGACUAGCGAAGGAAGCUACAACAAUAAGACGUGUUCUUGAACCUCUAUUCCAGAACUUUGAUGCUAACAAUCACUGGUCCCUAGAAAAAGGAGUUGCCUAUCCUGUUUUGACAUUUUUGCAGUCACUUCUGGUUGAAUCAGGUUAUGUUUGGAACUUGAUGCAUUGUGUUUUUAGGCCGUGUGUGUGGUCUCAGAUACUCUGCUGUAAUUCAAAUAACCUUUUUGUAUACAUAACUGAUAUUGCUUAUAUUUACUUCAGGAGAAAACUCACAUUUGCUAUUAUCUAUCCUGGUCAAGCACUUGGAUCAUAAGAGUGUCGCCAAACAACCACUUUUACUGGUAGACAUUGUUAAUGUCACAGCACGACUUGGACAAAGUGCAAAGCAGCAAGCCACAGUUGCUAUCAUUGGUGCAAUAUCUGACUUGAUGAAACAUUUACGAAAGUGCCUGCAAAAUUCUUCUGAAUCAUCCAGCCCUAGGGAUGGCAGCGAUGAAAGGAAUGCUGAUCUUCAGGUUGCCUUGGAAAACUGUAUUGCACAGCUCUCAAAUAAGGUUUGCAGUUGUUCCUUUAGUUUUCACUUCAUUUAAUUUAUGGAAUGAACUAGCAGUGCCACAGAAAGUGUGGCUUCUGAAACGUUAAAACCAUGGUUUAUCUUAAUAUGCAUGUAAAAUUGUUUUUGCAAAGAAGUUUGGGAGUGAAUCAUAGUUUAUAAAUUGUUGUUGUUGUUUUUUUUUAAAAUUGUUUUUCCUCCAUGUAGUUUAUGUACAAAAGCUGUUUUUAAUCAACAGGUGGGGGAUGUGGGACCCAUACUUGAUACGAUAGCUGUGUUCUUAGAGAAUAUUCCAGCCACUACUGUUGUAGCUAGAACAACUAUCUCGGCUGUUCACCAAACUGCACGGAUUAUCUCUUCCAUCCCUAACAUAUCAUAUCACAAAAAGGUAAAUAAAUGUACUUUUACUUUUUUUGCGUUCUAAUCUCUAAAACCAUUUGAGUACUGAGGUUAUGCAUUGUAAUCUGUUUCAGGCUUUUCCUGAUGCUUUAUUCCAUCAAUUGCUUGUAGCAAUGGCCCACCCAGACCAUGAGACUAGAGUUGGAGCACAUAGUGUCUUCUCUAUCUUGCUUAUGCCAUCCUUGCUUUCUCCUUGGUCAGACCAGAAUAAGAAAACCUCUGAAGCUGUUUCUGGGUUUUUUGGUUCAUCGCAUCACAAAAAAGGAGUAAAAGUUUCUCCUUUCAGGAUGAAAGCAAUGAUAAUGUUGAUUCCAUGGACGGAAAAUCAUGGGAAGAAGGCAAUCCAAUAUCAGAUAACAGUGGAAAACAUGAUUCUCAUGAUCGUUCAAACAGCUUCAAGCAUGCUGUCUUAGAUGGAAAAACAGUAUGGAGCUCCAAAAAUUUGAACUUGAGCUUAUUUAGUUUUCAACUUGAUUUUUUUUUCCACAUCCAAGAUGGAAAAAUGGUCUCAUGCAGUUGAAUGCUUGCUUGCAGCUAACUUCCCUUCGAUUGAGUAGCCAUCAAGUCAGUCUUCUGCUUUCAUCAAUAUGGGUUCAGGCAACAUCUGCAGAGAAUAUGCCCGCAAAUUUUGAGGCCAUGGGCCAUACUUAUAACAUUGCUUUGCUUUUCACACGAUCUAAGGUUAGUCAUGCUUACAAUGUGCUAGCAUAAGGUGCAUUUACUUCAAUCUCCUUUCAAGCUCUAUAAUUUCAUAACUUAGCUUAGUAUAUCCGGGGUCCUUCUGAAUUUUUUAAACUUAGAAUGGUGCUUCAAGCCAGCAAGUUUUUUUCUCAGUUCACCGUUGAUUCUUUUCUCCUCGCAACGAUAUUGACAUUGAAUCUGGAGGAGAAAAUUACUGAGAGGGGUUUCUGCAUAGCCAGAAAAGAAGUUACAUGUUUUGCCAUAUCUUUCAAAUUUUCUUGUUUUAGAUAACUGAAGAAUCUAAUGCUUUCAAAUUGAUGGCCAUACUUGGCCUGUGUGUUGAUGAACUUUGGUUAUCACAGACCUCAAGUCACGUGGCUCUAGUCCGGUGUUUUCAGCUGGCAUUCUCACUUAGGAGCAUCUCUCUGGAUCAAGAAGGUAAGUUGAAUCUAUUAGUGAAUGAUAAUAUUUUGGUCAUAGGAUUUACAGCAUUUAUUUGGAGGUGAAUGGGUGUUUCCCAUGUGGCACCGUAUAUAUGUGAAUGUAGCAAGAUGUUGCCAUUCGUGAGAUCAGAAUUUCGCUAACACUUCCCAGUCUCACUGUUAUACGCAUUGACGGACCUUUUAUCUGCGUUCCCAAACUUGCUUUUCUUGGUCAUCUUUUUCUCCCAAUAUUGCCCUGAUUUUCUUUUAAUCAUGCAAUAAAAAUGAAACUUAAUGUAAAACUAUGGUUUUGCUUAAAUUUUUUGCUGAAUCACACAGUUGUAUGUUAUAUAGUGAAUGGUGAUAAUGUGAGAGACAGACUACCCAGAUUUUAUCUUUCAUUCCUUCUUUUCUCUAACUAAAAGAUCCCUGAUUUAUGAUUUCUGAAUUGCAUGUGAAGUUUAUUUUCUGAAAUUGAUAGACUGGUUAUCUUGGUGAAAUUUACUUCUGAUAUAUAUCUCUUGCAUCCAAUUUUAAGCAGGUCUGCAGCCAUCUCGCAGAAGGUCCCUCUUCACCUUGGCAUCGUUCAUGCUUAUUUUUGCAGCAAGGGCAGGAAAUCUCCCAGAGCUAAUUCCUUUUGUUAAAGUCUCUCUAACGGAAAAAACAGUUAGUUCCUUUUCCAUUACCAUUUAGAAGAUAAUGUUUUGUUUUUGUUUUCCUAUGGGUAAGACAUGUUUCCCUUGGAGCUUCCUUUAACACAUUUGCAUCCAUUUAUCAUUAUUUUGGCAGGCUGACCCUUAUCUUGAAUUAGUUGAAGAUAUCAAGCUGCAAGCUAUUUAUGUAGAAUCUGAUGAACGGAAAAUAGCAUAUGGUUCAGAGGAUGAUGAUGUUGCUGCUUUAAAAUCUCUCUCAUGCGUACAAGUAGAUGAUGGUCAUUUGAAGGAAACCCUGGUAUCCCGAUUUAUGACAAAAUUUGUCAAAUUAUCAGAGGUGAUGUUCUGACUUAUAUUUAUGCAUUUUCUUAACAAUAUAACUACUGAAUUUGUCUUUUCUAGAUCUGAUAUAAGACUUUUCAAAUGGCCAAAGGUCCAAGCUCUGAAUACCUAUGAGCAACAGUUGCAUGGUGAAUAGCACUAGCCACAUUUAUGUCAUUAAAAAAUAGAGUGAAUACUGUGCCAAAUGAACACACUUGGAUAGAAAUGCAAAGAAAAAGAAAGGAAUGUAUUUUUAUAAAAUAUAGGAAGAGGAUCUGUAUCAAUUUAAUCCAAGUCAAUACCAUUUUGCAAUUAGACAAGUAUUAAGAAACACAGACCACAUAAAUUUUUCUCAUCACUAUAAUAAGUUGCUCAUGCUUUAGAAUAAUUAUGCUUUUCUGGAGUUUUUUGAAAAAUCUUGAAUAUUAUUCCCAGGACACUAGGUAGAUGUUUCACGGUUAAUUGUGUUGUUUCCUUUGACAAGGUUCCAACGAGGACAGUGUAUUCUGUCUCAAAAGGGUUGUACAUCAUUUGAGGUGUACUUUAUUUCAAAAUUGUCAUUUUCUUUGUUUUCCAGGAUGAGUUAUCAGGCAUAAAACAGCAACUUCUACAGGAUUUUUCACCUGAUGAUGUAUAUCCUUUAGGAGCUCCCCUGUUUAUGGAUACACCUAGGCCAUGUUCCCCUCUUGCCCGAAUGGAGUUUCAGGCAUUUGAAGAGGUAACAUCAUUAAGAUAAUGUUUUCCGUCUUGCAUUUAGCAAGUGUGUGACAGUUCACUUAUUUUAUUGGGUUUGUCUCAGAUUAUGCCUGCAGGUGCCUUGACGGAUGAUGAAACCUUCACGGAACUUAAUGGAAGCCAGUCAGGUCGCAAAACAUCAAUAUCUGUCCAUACACUUGACAUUCUAAGUGUCAAUGAACUUCUGGAAUCAGUAAGAGGAGCAAAUCUUGUUUCAUCUAUUUUUUUACUGAUUAGAUGGAAAUGCCAUUGCUGAUUUCUUUCCUAUUUUAGGUUGUUUAGACCUGUGAUCCCUGGUAAGGAACAAGGGCUGAAUUGUUGUGGAAUGUAUUGAAAAUUAUAAGUUUGGGAAACUUUUUAAAAAUAAAUAAAGAAAGAAAAGUACUGUAUAGGAUUUUUUAUUUAUAUUUUUUUUUGGGGGUGGGGUUGCACAAGAAAUAGUCUCUUUCCCAGACAUCUUGGUACAUUGUUGUAUGAGAGAAAAGUACGGUAAUUGUAACAGGAAUGGCUUGUUUUUAUCCAUUUCUAGUCUAGGAUAAAAUCAGCCUUUUAUGAUACUUUAUGAUUUAUUUUUUCUUGAUGACUACCUGUCUUAGCUUCACACUUCCUUGCAAAUUAAAUCUGUCAGUGAUCUAUCCAGGUCCUGGAAAUGCUCGACAAGUUGCAAGCUCCCAGGUGUCCUCUACACCUGCCUUAUGACCGAAGAGUCAGUGUGAAGCUCUCGUUACUGGUAAACAGCAGAAAAAUACUACAUAGUUUUAAGCAAACCGGAAGCCAAGGUUUUCCCCAGCACAGAUGAAAAGAAGGACACCUCAGUACAUGAUGAUGUGGUGAGUUUGUUUACUUUUGCAGACACAGGCCACGCUUAUUGAAUACAUUGCCUUUUCAAAUAUAUUACUUUUGUCCUGUCUUGUCCCUUUGCACGAAUACAUAACUCCAGCCCUUGGGUUUGGUGGUAGUGACAUUAUAACCAUCACUGUUGUCAUUAUCAUACCUGAAGUUUGAGCUUCAGGAGUUUCCUGAAAGGUUGUGUUUGGAUCUUUUGUCUUUCAUUUUGGUUUUGGAUCUCCCUGUUCCAAGGCCUUGGAUGGUUUUUGGAUGUUCCUGCACCACUGUAUGAUAUACAUGUGAUGCAAACGCCUUCUUCAUGUUUUUCUUUUGGAGGUGAAGGUUCCCAGAACCUUUAGCCUUUAUUACUCGGCAGAUAGGCUAUCUCAUUAAAACAUAAUUCAUGUACUGAUGUUACUUGCAAAUUAUUUGUUGUUCAGAAAGUGGAGUUGCCGCAAUGUGAUCGAACAUUAGCCACGAAGGAUCAAAUUAGAGCACCUGAUCAACUCGCCCUCUGCUCACUUGAGUACGGACAAAAUUCUUUCAGAUUACCACCUUCAAGCCCUUAUGACAAAUUUUUGAAGGCGGCUGGAUGUUGAAGAGUGUUCUAUACUAGCGAAUGACUACAAUGUUUGUCUAAUUUAUCUUUUCAUCAGGCAGUUAUCCUUUUUCUUUUCCGCAAUUCUUUAUCAUGGAAGCUUGCCAUUUUUCGCUUUACAUGUAAAUGUUACCCGGUCUGAUUACUAAUGUGGAGAAGAGAAAAGGUAGUAUGGGGAAAAUGGGUGGUUUUCAUCUACUCCUACAUUGUUUUCAAUAUCCAUAGCAAGAUUUGUUAAUAUCUUGACAGGAGCAAGUGUUCAUACUAAAUUUGUUGAUUGUUAUGUGCAUAUACAUAUAUUUGUAUAAUAGACAUCAACCUUGCUAAGUUUCUCUCGACAUUUACUGAUUUGUACUAUUUUAUUCGUUUGUGUGCAAACAUUACUUCAUUCAUGGAAAAUCUUUUCUUUUUUUCUGGUAGAUUUGUGAUAUUCCUGCUUUAACGUGAUGAACUUUUGAUUAAACUUCAAGUGCCAAGAAGGCAAGGAUCAUCUGCAUUGGUUGAGAAGCUUGAUUACGUACGAGCAAUGAAAAUUGCUUUGACUUGGCUAACCUCCUCCAAUGAACACUUGUGGAUGUGGACAUUGACUGAAAAAAUGACAGGAUUCAGAAGAAGAUUAGACGAAAUAUGGAGUCACAAGCUGAGGGAAUGGCACCUCAAAGGGGUCUCAUAAUCUUCACACCAGAUGCUAGAAGAGACGAGAUUAGUGCCUUGCCCUACACGGUGUAAAUAAACUCAAGAAAAAUAUUGGACGAAAGCAUCUUUAAUGUAAUGAACAUUCUCUUGUGCAAACUGAGAUGGAAGAAGCUGAUUCAUUGGGUAUCUGCUAGCAUCCAUUUAUAUUUGAAAAUAAAUAAAUCUUGCACUAUUUAUAUUUAUUUUUGAAGCCAUUGAAUAUCUUAUUCGGUUGAUCCAUGGAAAAAAUAAAAUAAAAUAAAAAAUUAACUCUCUUUUGCUUUUGAGCUAGUUUAGUUUUAAUAAUAGAAAUGGUUGGUUUUUAUUUUUUAUUAUUAUAAACCCAACUCCUUCCAAAUCAAUCUGUUAAAUCAAUUAUUUAUACUUUAAAAAUAUUUAUUUAAAAAAUUGAUAUAAUUUAUUUUAUUAAAUUUAUAUUUAUUCACUGAAAACUCUCGCAAUUAUUUUUUUAUCAUAGCUAUAAGGCUCAAUUAAUCCAAGAUACAUGAUCCAAGAUACAGAUCAUGGAUAGAAAAUUAACUUAAUUAACCAACUUUUUGAUUUUUGGUUAUUUAAAAAUAUAGUUGUGAUUGUUAUUUAAAAUAUAUUUUACUUAAAAAUAUAUUAAAAUAAUAUUUUUUUAAUUUUUUAAAAAUUAUUUUUGAUAUCAAUAUAUUAAAAUGAUUUCAAAGAAAAAAAUAAAUUUUUUUUUUUUUUAAAAAUACACAGUAUAUAGUAAUCCGUUGGAUCCGAACUGGUUUUGUAACCACGUGGCAGCCAUCUACUGGACCCAUUCCGUUAACAACAAGAUCCUUCAAACAAAACCUUAAAAAACGUGGCACUCGAUGACCGGACCUAAAAACAAGCAGGGCCCACACACACACGUAUACAUAGAAAUUAGAGCUCGUGUUCGUGUAUUACAAACUCGCUCUCUCCGUUUUUAAACUCACUCACUGAGUCAUCAUAACACAAAUCUCGCGCUCCCACCCUCUCUCUCUCAAAACUCACAAAAACACCAUGUCCCUGAGGUUUUAGCUUUCUCUCUCCAUCGUUCUUUCUCUCUCUAGACAGAUCUCUCUGAUCAGGUAAGUCUCAACCGUCCGUUUAUUUUCGCUCUCCUUUUCCUUUCAUGCAUUUGUUUUUUGUGGAAUUUUAAGUUACUGAAAUAAAUAAAAAUUCGUACAUUCUUUUUUUUUUUCGUGUGCAAAUUACUGAAAAUGAUCGGAUUAGUGUUAAUUGGUGUUUAUUAUAACUUUUUUUGAUGAUUCUUGACCGUUAGAGUGAUUUAGGGCAUUUUAAAUGAAGAUAAACUAGCGAAGACUUUCAGUUUUUAGCUUCUAUGGUAUAUUUUGAGAGUAAUAUAUCAAUUUCAGGGCGUUUAUGAAAGAGAUGUUGCGGUUGCUAGGUUUUUAGUAAUUUAUGUUUAGGAGAGCUGCUUAGAGUGUUUUAGUUACUGAUUUUUCACGCAUAGUGUAUUUUCCGCUGGGUGGUGGCGUGAGGACGAAAGUGAGAGAAUGAGAACAGUGUGUGGGAAUGUAUGCAUACAUAGGUUGUUGGAUUGAUUAUCAGAAUUUGGAACUAAAAAUAAUAGUGUUCUAUGUGUGAGAGUGUAAUAUUUGGGAUUUUUUUUUGUAUAUGCUUAUUUAUUGUAGGGAUUGGAGGCUGAAACUUGAGUUUUUUGUUGUUGUUUGUAUUUUUUUUUAGGUUCGUAUUUUUAAUUCAUGGGAGAGUGUAGUCAACACAGUUAGAUUCUUGUUUCUUUGCAUAUGUAUUCAAAACGUUCUGGUCAAGGAGAUGGCCCAGGUCCAAGGCCUGUACGGACUAGUGAUAGGCUUAGGAGAAGGCCGAAAGUGUUUAGUCGGACGUACUUGUAUUAUACUCCAGGUAUUAUUCGGCCCAGGAAAGGCAAAACCAAGACAAGGACUGCAGCUUCUCGGAUUGCCAAGAUGUUGGGUAACCGGGCAGUGCGGGCUGCAAAUGCUAAUGUAAGUGCUCAUAUUUCCUGUAACUUCAUUUCUCUUUUUCUGUCUUUGAGACUUUUUCAUGGACAUUGAACAUGCAAGUAUGGUGAGUUUAUAGAAUGUUUCUCCUUUCUGUUAAUGCUAAUUAGAUUAGUCCAUGAUUUCCUAUGCUUAUUCCUAUCAAGGACUCUAAAAUCUGACUUAUGCUGUUUGUGAUUUUAUCACAGUCAGUUCCAACCAAUCUUCGACGCUCGACAAGAAAGAGGAGGCUAUCUGCUCAUCUUGAAGAUUACACAGAUAGUUCUGGAUCAGAGGAUGAAGACUUGAUGGUUAGAAUCUAUACUCUUGCAAGCCUUAAGUUUGUGUAUUCAUGUUACAACAAUUUUUUCUCAACUUGUAUGGGUUUAAGCUUGGGGUAGUAAAAAUGAUUUGUUCUCCACUUUUCACUUCAUGUAAAACUUUGGGUAACAUUAUUUUCAGAGACCUGCAUUUCGACCAUUGAGGAACCGGAUUCAUAAUAGUGCGAGUCAAGAUGAGUUAUCAUCUUCCAAGCGUAAAAAAAAUGCGGAGACAAAAUCAACGCCUCGACGUGAAGGGCUGCGACCCCGUCGUUCUAGAACAAUCAUAAAAAAGCCACUGGCUCUGGAGUCUGGGGAUGAGCAAGAUACGUCUGAGGAGAAGGCUGUCCAAGAUGAGACUGAAAAUGGGAAUGAUAUUGAUGAUAAUGAUGCAGAUGAUGGUCAGAAUGAUGAUGAGGCUGAGGAUGAGGGAGAUGGGGAGGGUGCGGGUGAGGGUGAGGGUGAGGAUGAAGGAGAAGAUGACGACGACGACGACGAUGACGACGAUGAAGGUGAAGAGGAGGAAGAAGAGCAGGGUGGAAGGAGGAGAUAUGAUCUCCGAAACCGUGCAGAAGUCCGUAGGCUCUCUAUGGAGGAAGGUAAGCAAAGACCACGAUCUCCUCGAAGGGUAUUGCAUCAAGGAAUGGGGACAAAGGUCAAUAGGGAUGUAAGGAAAGGGGGAUCAAGGGUUCACAAGCGUCAUCGUCUAUCGAGAGCAGAGGAUUCUGAUGAUUCCCUUCUUGUGGAUGAGUUGGACCAAGGUCCUGCUAUUCCUUGGGCUCGAGGUGGGAGCAGAUCCGGACCACCUUGGCUCCUUGGAGGACUAGAGAUGCAUGGGACAACAACUUGGGGAUUGAAUGUUGCUGCAUCUGGUUGGGGCCAUCAAGGUGAUGCUUUAGCGAGCUUGACAUCUGGUGUGCAAACUGCUGGCCCUAGCUCAAAAGGAGGGGCAGAUAUUCAACCUUUACAGGUUGACGAGACUGUAAGUUUUGAUGACAUAGGCGGGCUUUCAGGAUAUAUUGAUGCUCUGAAGGAGAUGGUUUUCUUUCCCUUGUUAUAUCCAGAUUUCUUUGCCAGUUAUCACAUUACCCCGCCAAGAGGGGUUUUGUUAUGUGGUCCUCCUGGUACUGGGAAAACAUUAAUUGCCAGGGCAUUAGCAUGUGCUGCUUCAAAAGCUGGCCAGAAGGUUAGCUUUUACAUGCGCAAGGGUGCUGAUGUACUAAGCAAAUGGGUUGGUGAGGCUGAAAGGCAAUUGAAACUUCUUUUUGAGGAGGCGCAAAGGAACCAGCCUUCCAUCAUCUUCUUUGAUGAAAUAGAUGGACUUGCUCCUGUGAGAUCUAGCAAACAAGAGCAGAUUCACAACUCUAUUGUUUCUACUCUGCUCGCAUUGAUGGAUGGUCUGGAUUCUCGUGGACAAGUUGUUUUGAUUGGAGCAACCAACAGAGUUGAUGCUAUUGAUGGAGCCUUGCGUCGCCCUGGUCGGUUUGAUCGAGAAUUUAACUUUCCUUUGCCUGGUUGUGAGGCCCGUGCUGAAAUAUUAGACAUUCACACCCGCAAGUGGAAGCAUCCUCCUUCAAAGGAGCUAAAGUCAGAACUGGCAGCUAGUUGUGUUGGCUAUUGUGGUGCAGAUUUAAAGGCACUAUGCACUGAAGCUGCCAUCCGUGCUUUCCGUGAAAAAUACCCUCAAGUUUACACAAGUGAUGAUAAGUUUGUGAUAGAUGUUGAUUCUGUAAAGGUUGAGAAGUAUCAUUUUGUCGAAGCCAUGUCCACAAUUACCCCUGCAGCUCAUAGAGGUGCUGUUGUGCACUCCAGGCCAUUGUCUUUAGUAGUUGCACCGUGUCUGCAAAGUCAUCUCCAGAAAGCCAUGAAUUGCCUAUCCGAUAUAUUUUCACCCCUUGCAGUGUCAACAGAGUUUAUUAAGCUUUCUAUGCUUUCCUAUGGAUCUGCAAUUCCUCUUGUGUAUAGGCCACGACUUUUGCUUUGUGGUUGUGAAGGUUCUGGUCUGGUAAUUAUCUUUUAACCUCUUGAUCUUUGGAAUAUUGAUCAUUAUGGAAACGCCAAACUAAGAGUACUUACUGAUUUAGUUUAACAGGAUCAUCUUGGGCCUGCCGUGUUACAUGAACUGGAGAAAUUUCCUGUUCAUUCUCUAGGACUUCCAUCUCUGCUUUCGGAUCCCAGUGCAAAGACCCCAGAGGAAGCUUUGGUGCACAUAUUUGGUGAAGCACGGAGAGCCACACCGUCCAUUCUUUACAUAUCUCACUUUGAUCUUUGGUGGGAUAAUGUAAGCACAUGCCUCCCUCUGCAAACCUUAGGAAAAUGCAAUAAGCAUUUUUUCUGGUAGUAUAUGCACUUAAUUUUUUCUACAAACCCGAGGGAUUCAUGUUCUUUUAUCUAAUCUGAAACAAUUGACCAUGCUUGCAUAAAAUUUUAUGAUUUUUUAGUGAUUUUUUUUGUCAAGUGCCUUAAAGUCAAUUCCCCUCGUGUCAUCCUUUAUCUGAGCUUUACACACUUGAUGUUGCAGGCACAUGAACAGCUCAGGGCUGUUCUUCUGACUUUAUUAGAAGAAUUGCCGUCUGACUUACCGAUUCUAUUACUUGGAAGCUCUUCAUCUCCACCCGCCGAGAUUGAUGGCGCAUCAUCGGUAUUUCCCGAUCAUUCAGUGUACGUUCUACUUAUUUGAAAGCAACUGUUGCAAUUCCAGUACUGCUGUAAUAAUCAUGAUGAUUAAUUUUAAUUGCUGGUAAUGUUACUUUCAAUUUAUAGUCCUUAUAUGUUACUUUAAACAUCAUUUUAAUAUCCUAAUUUUUAUGUCUAUUCUUGUCAGGCUAACGUAAGAUUAUGUUGAUUUUUUUUUCUUCAAUCAAGUUUGCCAGCGUAAAAGGACUAUUUAUCCUUGUUAGACUUAUUUUAGUACAUACUGGAAUUAAUGUAAACCGUCAUAGCUGAUAAGAAGGUCAUCUUUAGGCAUCAAAAGGCUUUCAGUGCAAGCUUGUAUACCCUUGAAAUUGUUUUGUUCCGCCUUUAAAUAGAUGCAUGGCAUGUACUUGGUACUUGCAAGGACGUUGUUUCCUUGUUGCUGUUAUAUCUGGGUAACCUUACUUAACGCGCCAUUUUUAUAUAAUGAUGACCACAGUAUUUUCUUGCUCAAGCCAGUAUUUUAUUUAUGUUGUCAGCUAUCAAGUGGGCAAACCAUCAACCGGAGACAGAUCUUUGUUCUUUGACCGUUUAAUUGAAGCUGCCUUAUCAGUUGUCCUGGAGGACGUGGCCAAGAAAUCCCAAGGAUCUUCCCCUCUUCCUGAACUUCCUAAGGCACAAAAAGUGGCUAGUGGCCCAAAGGCAUCAGAGUUGAAAGCCAAGAUAGAAGCUGAGCAGCAUGCUCUACGCCGAAUGCGUAUGUGCCUCAGAGAUAUUUGCAACAGGUAAGCUGGCCAUAGUUCUAGUCUUGUCCUUGGAAGAUUGAUAUUUCUUACAUCACAGUUGUGGUUUUGCACAAUAAUAACGUGAUUUACUGCCUUAAUGCAAUAAAAAAUCUGAGGUUAGGAUUUCAGUUGUAGUUUAUUUCAUGUUGAAAUGGUAUCAAGUUUAAUAACUUAAACAAAAUGCAGAUAUCAUAGAGCAUAUUAUAUCAAAGCAAUGCAACAUGGAACUUACACCUUCCUUCAACAAGAAAUUUUAGAUUUGAGUUGCAGUUUCACUAUGCAUGAAUAUUGAAAUGGUCUCAAUGUAAUUCAGCAUGUUGGUUCUAAAGAAAAUGCAGAUAUCACGGAGCAAGAUUCUAUUCGUCUAGUUAAUUUAAGCCAAAUGUAGAUUUCCAAAAAAAAAGGGUCAUUCCCAUAGGCCAUAGCCAUAAUCCUUUUAGCCAAUGAUCAAGAUUUUUUUCUCAAUCUCUAAUCUUUUGAAAAAAUUACCUCUAAAUUUUACUGGAGAAUCAAAAGUCAAAAUAAAUGAAGAGGAUAGGAGAAUCAAGUAUGUGGUGACAAACCAAAAGGAGUUGGAAGUAGCUAAAUGAGAGAUUUAGCGAACAAUUAAGAUCCUGAGGUGAGUGAGAGCAAUGAAAAGUGGUAUGAGUGAGGAAUGAGGUCAAGAAAGGGCAGGUAGACUGCAUGUCUGUGAACAUGCGUGUGUGUGUGUGUGUGUUGGGGGUGGGGGGGGGGGUGUGCUAGAUUGCUUUAAUCCCUAAUGAUGAACCCACUCAACUGGUUACAGUGCACCCUACUUGUUAAAUACAAACCACAGUAUUGUACUUCCCUGCAUCGUUCACUCUUAACCUUCUGGCUACUUUGUUGCAGGGUACUGUAUGACAAACGAUUUAGUGCCUUCCAUUAUCCUGUCACCGAUGAGGAUGCUCCAAACUACCGCUCUAUAAUACAGAACCCUAUGGACAUAGCUACUAUGCUGCAGCGUGUUGACUCUGGUCAAUAUAUCACCUGCUCAGCAUUCCUGCAAGACAUUGAUCUCAUCGUGACCAAUGCAAAGGUGUGUUUGGUUUCUAGCUGCAUUUAGAAAUAAACACGUCUAUUCCUUUGUCCAGUGCAUUUUUUCAUACUUAACUUCGGUGUAUGAUUUUGUAACCAAAAAAACUUUGGUUUAUGUUUUUAAUGUAGGUUUACAAUGGAGAUGAUUAUAAUGGUGCUAGGAUUGUCAGUAGAAGUCAUGAGCUUCGGGAUGCAGUAAGUUCACAUACUAAUUGAUUUUCAAUUUCCUCUCCUCUCCUUUGUUACUGUUCACCUAAAGCAUCAUGGAUGAAGCUUUUCUCAUAAUAUUUUUACAGGUGCAUGGAAUGUUGUCACAGAUGGACCCUGCGCUCGUCACAUACUGUGACAAGAUUGCUGCCCAAGGGGGUCCAGUGCAAGUACCAGAUGAUUUAGGGGGAUCUAUUUUUCCAUCAACCCCAGUUGUGCAGCUGGGAACAACUAGAACAAGUGCCCGGUUACGUAAUGUCCAGCCUGAUGUUAAUCUGGAUCAAAGCUACGAGGCCUUGAAAAGGCAGAAGAAAAAUGCUGAUGCUACUCAUGCUGGUAUGUACUUCGGUAAUUUUAUUUUUUCGUUCUGCUGGUGCCCUUUGUUUUUCCCAAUGAUGUGAAUGAUAUCUUGAAAUAGUGUUAAAUUGCAAGGCACUUAUUUUACAUCUUGAACUACUGGUGCAGUAUACUGAUAUUAUAGAUCAAAAUCAAGUUUACCAACUCAGCCAUUGACUUCCUGUAUACCUCCACGAGAGGAGCUAUUUCAGUUAUGUUAAUGGAUGUGCUCGAAGCCAGAAAGCCAAAUUUUGCUAUUGCCCAUAUUCCAAAUCAACAUCCUCUUCAGCUGUUGCCCUUUUUUGAAGUUUUCAACUCUUAAUUUUCUUGGAUUUGUUAAAUCUAAAUUUUAAUCUUUCUUUCGAUAUCCCUCCCUCCAGAUAUGGCUUUCUGAUCAUGUAUACUUUCUUGAAAACUAGCUUCAACAGCAGAAGACAAAUCACGACAUCAGGAUUCUGUACAGGCAAAGCUGCCAGAGGAACAUGAUACAGACGACAUGAAUCCAGACAGACCUGAGCCCUCUUCGGCUGAUGACAUUCGACAUGAAACUUCAGGAGGAGAAGCUUCUGGUCAUAUCGAAGGGAGUGGGUCCCAAGAUGCUACAAUGUCCGAUGCCGAAGCAUCAAGCCAUGGAGAGUACAUCAAGAGGCUUCUCAUCGAGCGCACUGAAAACUAUGACAUCCCGCAGCUUGAAAGGCUCUACACGCGUAUUAUGAAAGGCAUCUUCGAAACCAAGGACAAAGGCAUCGAAGAUGGCCCCACAUACUCAAUUUUGAGGUUUUUGGUGAAAUUUGCAGAGGACGCUGCAAAUUUCUGAACUCCAUACCUUUUUCCCUUCAACAGAGGAUUAAAAAAAAAAGGAACCAAAAAGAAAAAAAAUCUUGCAGGUAGCUGUUGUAAAUUCGGGAUUUUCUUUUAAAAAAUUAUUGAGUGAAAGCAAUCUCUCCUCUACCCCCCUCCCACUCUCUUUACUUUUUUACCGUUGAAAGACGACGGGCAUAUUUUUCCAUUAGUUGUAAAAAAGCAUUUGCAGAGACUAGAGCCGGAAUUGUGAUGGCCAGUCGCAGUCGCACCCCCAGCGGUGGAACUUGAAACAAAUUGAAUGCACCUUAUAAUGUGGAUCAAGAGAACCCUCAAAAUAUGAUGCUUUAGUUUCAUUAACUACGGUUAAGCCAGUUCAGUUCUGGGAGUUUUCUAAGUGGCCCCGGAAGUUCAGGCUAUAUGAGGAGCACAAAAUUAGCAAAAGCUAUAGGCCAUCUAAUUGCCCAGGGACAGAAGUAGCUUAGGAGAGCUUUCUUAAAGCCUAAAUGCAUUUGCUUGCCUACUAGAUGGUAAUAUUAUUGAGCUACCAGGAGAUGUUUGGCAUGUCUUGCAGUUUGGCCAACAUCUGUUUUGCAGCUGAUUUCCUCGCUUCACGCGGGGAAGGACUCGGGUCACCUACGCUCGAACACUCAAAACCUUUUCCUUUCACGGUCACGUCAGCUUGGAAUCCACCUUAAAAUGGAAAACAAACCUGUAUUAGCCAUAGUUGGUAAAAUAUAUUGCUCUCCGUUUGCAUUGAAUUUGAUCUUACCAUCUAGUAACGACACAUGAUAAGUUGGUAAAAUCCAUUUGUUCUCGUAACAUACAUCAUCCAAGUCCUGCCAAAUGAAUAAUAAGGUAAUUACCAUGUAAAAACGAGGGAAGAAAACAAAACCCUAGCCAGCACUACAGUAUGAGCGCCUUUUUUAUGUGAAAUCUACUUAACAUGCUAUUAUACCAUCACUCUGGUGAUGCAUCUUAUGUUUUUAUCACUUGCAGCAUACUUCGGGCACCAAAUUCCCAGGAGACUGUCGUAAACUAGAGAUGCUCAGUAUGAUAUUGUAAAGAUGAUGCAUGGCGGCCACAUCAGGAUUGCAAGGCACAGGAGUAAAAUACUUGUCACAAUUGUGCUCCAAUAACUUGGGCAUUAACUUGUGUCCUAGCUACAUUAGUUUUCAUUACUGCAAGGCAUUUUUACGUUUUUAAGAUAAAUUGAGGCUCAUCCUACAAAAUCAUGCCAUAAGUAGACCCACUAAGCUUUUUGGAUAUUCUGGUACGGUUUAUGCUAGCAUGGAUUUUCAUGUUGAGUAACAAGACAAAUUAAAGUUCUCUAGUACAAACUUGCCUGGCAUGAGUUUUUCAUAUUGGGCAUAGUGUCUGGCAAUCCCUUCCUCUUGACAGAUGGAGACGAGCAUUGGUCCUCGUAAGUCCUUUCCCGAGAAACACUUCUCAGGGAUACAAGAUUACAACCUUCUAUAAGGGAUUCUAUCUUCAGGGACAAAUUAUCUUCACCACCUAUAAUAGACCAGAAUUUAAGAAGUAAAAAAUAAAUUAUAAUAACAACAAAUUUAGACAAGCUCUUGGACCCUGAUUGAAACUGGACGGUUGGAAUUCUCAUUAAAUGAAAGUACACUUCUAUACUAUUUAGAAACAAGGGGGGGAAUUCCUAUUGUGAGUGUGAUCCAUCAGCAAUCACAUAAAACAUGUUGGAAACAAAGCCAAGAAGUAAACACGUAGACAAGGCAUCUAGAAAUGCUUAUCAUCACAAAAGCACAAAUUAGUUUGAUGAUAAUGUAAAGACCUGACAGUGAAUUCAUGCAAACUGUGCAAUUAGAGCAAGGUUGACGAUAAUGUAGGAAAUGAACAUCCAUGCAAUUAAGUAUUUUCAAGUAUGUAUCUUUUUCUUUAAGUUCACUUUCAUUCUACUUUCCUUAAACUCAAUUACGCUUGCUAACAACCUUUUCUAGAUAUGAGUAUGACUCCUCAUUUAAAGCAAACAAUUCUACAAGACCAGAAUUGGAAACGAUCAUAGAGAUGAUAGAAUUUGUAGUUAGAUUUCUACUCACAUCUCAUCUUAAAUACAUGGAUUUAAAAUUGAAGGAAAAUUAUGACACAAGUUUAAGAAAAGAAAAGAAACCCGGAUCAACUAAAAGACAUGAAGAAAAAAAUACCCUUCAAAAUUGUCUCGAUGUCUUUAUCACACUGAGCAAUCUGAUCUUCAAUGUCUCGUUGCUGGAGAGACUGCAGACACAAGUGAAGAUCUGUCAUGGAAGUUUCCAAUGGGGUAAGUUGGAAGAUGCUUCAAAAUUAGGAACUGACCUUUCAAGCUAGGAACUGACCUUUCAAGCUAGCAUGCACAACAUGUGGAGGCAAGAAUAAUAAUACAUUGACUACAUUAUUUAUAUACAUAGAAGGGUAUGUGUUGACUAGUCCUGGUCUAGAAUGGGCAGAUGUCAUGGAUCAUGAUCACAUUGCCAAUGAGUAGGUUCCAGAUAACUGCCUCAGCAAACACAUCAGACUCUGACCUUAAAGGCAGUCAAAUAAAGUUACUAACCACUAAUUUGAUGAUUGUGAAUGUGAUUAUUCUUCUGGCAUGAUUGAUGUAGAAAAGGAUAUAGAAUCUUAAAGGAAAAAAGUUGUACCAAUCUAUCCCUUUUGCUUAAAACAACUGUCAAUGCAGCAUCUGAAAGUUCCUUUGAAGCUAAGAUGGUGCGUAAUUUGUCAAGAUUUUUGGAGUUGGAUUGACAAGCAACCACAGCAUUAUCAGUUACAGGCAUCCUAUCUUGAUCAGAAACAAUAUUGUUGCAGUUUUUGUUUCCAUCGGCAACAACCGCACCCAUGCAUCCAGUAAUUUGCUGACUUGUUGUCCGGUCAACCAUGUCAACCUGCAUACCCAGAGGCAGAUUUGGAUUAUAUACAAAUAAAUAAACAAUAGAAGACGAGCUUUAUAAGAUUAACAUUAAAAAUAUCCAUCUCAUGAUCCAACUAAAAGGCAUGUGCAUAUAGUCGCAAGUAUUACAAAUCUAACCUUAACCGUAUCACCACUUGCAGAGCCCUUUGAACACUUCUCCACAGUUUCCAUCUUCAUACUUGGCAGGCCCUCUGAACACUUGUCUGCAGUAAUUGUCUUCUUCUGGCAAUUUUGAGGUUGGUCUUUGCCAGAAAAAAUUCUUCUUUUGUAUUUAUUUUGGGUAUUAGCCACAUAAGAUUCAUCCACAUCCAUCUUCUGAGGCCUAUCACAAUCACCAGACAAAUCUACCACGCAACAUCUAUCAUUGACAUUCUGGCUUUGAUGAAUUCAUCUCACUCAAAGAUUGGGCAAUGGUCUCGCUGCCGAGAAGCUCUGCGGCACUAUCAUUUACAUGAUUAUGAAAUCUUUCUGAGACUUCUGCUUCACAAGGUCUUUCAGUCCUAUCAGAGCUGCUUACAUUUAUGGUUUCCAAUCCCAUUCUUGGAACUUGCACACCAUCAGAAAGCCCUUCUCUGUUUAGAAGACAAAUUCAUCUCCAAAUGAUAAGUGAAGAUAGUUCUAAAAAUCAAAAUGAUAAGAGGCAAAGCCUAUAAAGUUAUUCCCCCCAACUGACAUUAUUUGAGCAGCCACCAAUUUCUGCAGCAAUCUACAUGACAGUGUUCAGAGAUUUUAAGAUAAAAAUGAAAGCAACAAAAACACAUGGGUUAUAGCUGAAGGACUUCUUUAUGAUUUUGAGUUCUAGAUGAUUUGAGAUUAUUAACUAAUAGUUCACAUUCAGCCACGUGCAUUCCAAGUUAAGGCACUCUUGUGUCAGGAUAUUAGCUUUAAAAUGGGUAUUUCCAUGAAAGACAUACCAGAGGUGAAACCUCCCUGUCAAAAAUAUAAAUGGAUAAAUAACUGAAGGUGAAACCUAAUCAACCAAGAAAACUAGCUAGUCAUGGGUGCCCAGACUAGGUUUGAAAUCAAUACUCAUAUGAGGGGGGAAAUGGAAAUCCAUGGGCACUGAGAAGGAAAGCAUGCAAUAUAGUAAAAGACUACAGCCAGUCAUGGUUCCCUACAAACUAUGUCUUGGAAGAGAAUUUGAAGAUAGUCAUACUGGUCAACAUUUUUGCAUGAAGGUGAAUUCAAACACACCUUGUGCUUUACAUGCAAGUCUUUUAUCAUUGCACCAAAUAAUGGUCCUUGAAAAUAUACAAACUAGUGACUAAAGUAAAGUCAUAUAUCCAGGACACUUGCAGUAAGGAAACAGAAUAACAAAAGUAAGAUUAGAUUUAGUUCAGCCAAUUAAUUUUUUCAUCCAAAGACAUGGAAACCACAAUACCACAUACUAAAAAAUUAAAAAAACAAAUUGAAAUAUCCAAAACAUAUCCUAUUAACUAAAUCUAUGGAUGGGAUGUCCAGGUGCAUGCAAAGUUAUUUCCACAUAGCAGAGCUCACAGACAAUAAUGCAUUCCAGAAUUUUCCACACCUCAAAAGCCAGUCUGACAGAACCUCAGCAUAAGGAAGCAAAAGAAAGUAUUCAACAACUGAGGUAUGCGUCCACCAACUUGAACUCUUUAUGGCCAGAGGGCCCUGCAAGCUACACGGCAAAUACAAGAUGCUGCAUUAGAGAUUUCAGAGAUUUGUUUUUCUUCUACAAUUAUCUAGCACAUUUCUAAUCAAACAAUGUCCUAUUCUAGCACGCCUGAUUUGACAAAAUCUGAACAGUUGGUGGGUUCAAUUUUGUGGUGGAAGCAUUAUGCAUCCAAAGAUAUCACCAUAUAAUAUUCUCACCUUUUUAAUCAAAAAGAAAAACGUGAUUAUAGUUAUCCAUCAACGCUCUGUGCUAGCCCCAUUACAUUUGAAGAUAAAUUAGUACAAACCAAUAAAAUAACGAUCCCACCAGUGAGCCAAUGUUAAACUGUUACAAUCCACCAUCAUAACAGAAUACAUACUACAACACUUUAUCAUAUUAAAUGAUUAUCUUAAGAUAGACUAUGGUGCUUCAUCAUGUUAAAUGGUUUAUCUUAAGAUAUACUUUGGUUGAUGUUUAUAAUCUCACCAAUCAAGAAAAAUAACAAAAAAGAGAGGGAAGUGCACUAUGAUAAUGGCCAAAAGGUAAUCUAAUUCUCAGUGGUUUCAACCAAACACGUUUUUGUGCUAACUGUAAUUACAUCAUGUGAGGGCAUUAAUGUGUGCUUUAGGAAUUCAUUAUUGCCUAUAUGAUAAUCAAUUAAACCAUUUCAGCUGAUCCAAAGAAAAUUGAAGGGCCCAUUCAACUGGUAGUUAACAUGCAGCCUUUACACUAAACAAAAAAAAAACAAAUGCCGAAUGUAUUGCUGGGUGGUUAUAGGGUAAAAUGAAAAGAAGGAGAAAGACCUAUUGAUAGUAUUCUUAAUCGGGAUUUGAAGAGCAAUGCUGUUGUCUGCUUUGGUGAGUUGCAUAAUAUAAAAAUAAGCAGCUGUCUUUUCUUUACUUGUAGAAUACGUGACAUGGCUUUCCAAAACCACAAGGUCGCUUUGAUCAAUACCUGUUCCCCAUACAACAUAUCCCAUUAAAAAUUAAUAUUCAUGAUAAAAAUAAAAUAGUGUAUCUAGAAAAACUGCUUAUUUUCUCCACAUGCAUUAAUCAUAUUCAAUCAGGUACAUUUAGGAAUAAGUAACUAGUGCACUCUAGCAGCUGCAGGAAAGGUCAGAGAAUAAAGGAUUAGGUGCUUAAAUUACAAGCUAACAACAGCAUAUGUUCACUAAACUCAUCAUGCACAGAGCCUGAUUAAAAAUUUAACUUGGCUGAACGGAAAUGCACAAAUAACAAAAACUACUUAACUAAUAUCCAUGCACAAAAUCUUUUAACAUACUAACAUCAUAUACCUGUUGCUUCCUUGACAGCUGAAAAUGCAAAUUGCUGAAAGCGAUCUUCAUUGCUGCUCGAUUUACCUUUCAAGGGUUUUUUAAUAAUUCGUUUCUUUUUGUUUACAUGAUCAGAAUCCAUGGUACCCUCCAAGCUGUUACUAGAGACAUCCACAUCUUUCUCAAUCACUGACCAGACCCCCUCAGUAAUGGAGCCAAAUUGCAAAAAGCAAUUCUCCUUCCUGGAGUCUACUAAAAAAACUGCAACCUUGGAAAUUGGCCAUCCAUCAAUGUUUAGAUCGUCUUCUGAUGCAUCUAGGCUCAUAGAUAUGCUACAUGCCUCCAUAAUACUUUCCUCCAUCAAUGGAAAUGGUUGAGACUCAGUGUCAUUUGAUCUUUGCAAGAGUCUUAUAUGUGCCAUUAAAGCAGGUUUGAUAACCACAGCUAGCUUGCAGAAGUUCUCAAAACAUAAAAACUCAAGCUGUGGAUAUUGUUUCCUGUGAUAGUAGUUGUACAGUAAAACAACUGCAUGAACCUAGAGGAAAAAAACAAAUGAGAAGUUAAAAAGAUGUUGGCAAAGGGAUGAGAGAGAGCAAUGAUGUCUGCAUAUACGUAUUUAAACAAGAGUAUAUGGGUAUGAUUUCCAGCACAAAUGAGCCAAUAUAAGAUGGAUACGUGAAUGUAUUAGGAUACACAUAAUUCCAGAAGAACGAUUCUGGAAACCCCCCCCCCUCGUUUCCUUCUUAUGUCUUUCUUCUUAUUUCUUGAACAUUCUUUCCUCAUAACUUACAAUAAUUUCACGGUUCAAAUAUCCCUCAUAAAUUCAACAGUCAAAGUACAUGUGGUAACAUUUUAUAUAGAUUUUCCCUCCCUCGUUUCCCUUUUAUGUUUUUCUUUUUAUUUCUUGAACAUUCUUUCCUCGUAACUUACAAUAAUUUAGCAGUUCAAAUAUCCCUCGUAAAUUCAACAGUCAAAGUAUGUGUGGAAACAUUUUAUAUAAACUUUCCCAAUGAUAAUAUCAUUAUAUAGGCUAAGAUAUGAAGCAUACUAACAUAUGAGAGAAAGUGCAGGAAAAGGAGGAUGGCUGUACUUUUCCUUAGUUCAAGAUGAUUGACACUACCCCAAAUGUUGAUCGUUAUGGUACAUGGAAUAGCCACAAGAAUUUAAGUUUCUGUAGAGUUCGAUCCAGGGUUUGUAGGUUUCCUUAUACCAUUAUAGCACAUGGAACAGGGUUGGUGUAAGUGAAACCAACCCUCAAUGCUCCUCCAUUCACCCAGGUUGCUUCAGAUAAAACCUUCUUGGUGCUUUAAAAGGCCUGGUGAGCAAGAGACAUCUCUACUUUGAUAGAAUUAGCUUCUCAUGGAGGAUAAAUAUUUUUGUAAACUUAUGUUUGUUUGCCCUUAUUUUUCUGCCUUUCAGUACAGUAUACAGAAUUUUAUUAGUUCAAGGAAGGACCAUAGAAACAAGUAUAGAUCUUCAAUAACUGUUUUUAGAAAAAGCCUAGAAAUACUUUGGCUUAAUGAAUCAAGAGAUGCAGAAGGAACCACAAAUCAUAGGAAAACAAAACGAUGAAGUUGCAAUAACUAAGUUUAUUUAAUAGAUGUCAAGAUUGUUACAGUCAAUAUGAUACCAAGAAGGGAAAUGCAGGCAUCAUUCAUGAAUGAUGAAACCAUGGCUUAUGGAGGCACGAGUAGGGCCCACCACAAUGUGAUUGGGUGCACUUCUUGUGCCUGUUGGAUGGGUGAGGUAGCGUCAUUCACAGGUGAUGGCAGCAUUUCUCAUGCUAAAAAUAUUGCUCUCCAAGAAAAGAUGUUUAUUUGACAAUUCAUUUACUACAAAAAAUAUGUUCACCUGAUAAUCACAUGGUUCAGAGACAAGAUUUGUGAACUAUAAAUGAAGAGUCACCAGAAAGAAGAAACGGCACCUGUUUUGCGAUUGAUUCCUGGGCAAUUUGUGAUAUAUCUCCCUUUGCAGAAGAUUUUCCUUGUAGUUUUGGAUCAACCAGGUAUUCUAAUAAUGCAGCAAUAAAAUCCUCAGUUGGACAUGCAUCUGCUACAUCCAAGGCUUUUGAAGCCAUUGGAGCACAACUCGCCCUUCAAAUCCUCACAAAAGGCACAAAGAAAACAAUGUAACAAAAACUUCAGCCUCCAAAGAUUCAUCACAGCAAGGAAAAAGCCUACAUAUAAUAGAGAUGGAAGCUACAAAACUAUCCCAACAUCAACAUCUUUCUUGAUCAUUUAGCAUCAACAUGUUGUUAAGAUACUAAACACCAGAAACUUCAUAACAUCAUAGUAUCAACCCCUUAAUUGCAUGGCACUAAAAAGCUACCUGCUUUUAAAGACCAAACCAUGAGCCUUAAUUUCAUUCUCCUUAAAAGAAAUACCAAAUAAAACCAUAACAAUAGCUCAGAUUUUCGAUCAUGUGGUACAAUAACAAAAAAGUAAUAAAAUCAGAAGCCCAGAUGGCGAUUUUUAGUGAUUUUCUAAAUUCAACAACCUCUACCUUGAAAGCAAGCAACUUUCAUUACAGAAAUUAAAAAAAAAAUCAAAACUUUAUCUUUAUAUACCAUAAAGAAUGCACCAACAAAGCACAAAAAUACUAAAAAAAAAACACCCUGAAAUUCAAGCACAAGAAAAGAACAUUCACUUUGCAUUAGCAAAUUAAAAUUUUCACAUAAAAAACCACAAAGUACCAAAUUAUUAACCCAAAUCCUUAUAAGAUCAAACACUUCUCUUACCAAACCAUAAGAAUUCCCAAAAAAAAACACUAAAAAGCUAAAAAUUCAGGGAAAAAAUUUCAAAAUUAAAACCUCACCUAAAACCCGGAACAAGUAAUGUACUAAAGACAAAAUCAGAAAAUUAUGUUUUUUUUUUCUUUUUGGUGAGUAAAACAAAACAUGCAAGAGAUUAAUGAGUAAGAAAUUAAUGGUAGUUAAUCACCAAAAAUCACUCCUUAAGAGACAAAGGAAGCAAGUACAAACUAGAAGUGCAUAUGUGGGCUCUCUCUCUCACUGUGCCAAAUGGGAAGGCGCCAAGCCCUCAAGUUGAUACAAUCAUACAAAUCUCAUGUGGGCCGUAAAGCCCUAACUCUAUUCCCAUCUAAUGUUAUUUUUUAUCAUUAAAAAAGGACUUUCUCCAAAUAUUUUUAACCAUGGUUAUAAAACACGGUACGGGUCAUGGCCGUAUUUAAACUCCAAUUCAUGGCUUGGAUAAAUUAAUCCAAAACCUUUUCUAUUACUAAGAAGAAGUAAGCUUAUACAGAGGGCAUAAUUUAAUUGGUUAGGUUUUAAAUUUAUUAUUUAAAAGUUACUAAUUUGAAUUUCAUAAACCUCAAAGCUAUCGAAAAUUUACAUGGUUGUUAAUUUCAGGGCCCGUGAGAUUAAUCAAAAUACGUUCAAAUUAACUCGGAUACUCACAUUAAUAAAAAGAAAACGACACAUAAUCAAGAAAGUAGAGAAGGAAAAAUAGUUGCCGAAGACAUGCCAUGGUUCCUAGGUUACAACUUACAUGCGCUACCUUGUGGGAAAGACGAUUCCGCCAUGAUUAUAGUAGCAUCAAGAUCGACUACAUUUUGAUGUUGAAGGCAUAGUUUUGAAACCAAGCACCGUUCUAAUGUCAUGGCUUCUCCCAUAUGUUGGCAUACGUAGUGUGUGUGCCGACCUUUCUCUUCUUCAUUUGUGUAAUUUAGCCCUUAAAUCUAUGAUAGAUUUUCAAUUUAGGUUCCUAUUUUCAUGUUACCUGAGCCCAAGUUCUCUUUCUUUAAUUUAGUCUUUAUUGUUUUAAUAACUCUUUAAUUUAGGCCCAUCAUGGAGGAGGAGAAGGAAAAUGGAAAAGAAAAAAACAUUUGUGCUCUGUUUGUUUCAAGGAAAACGAAUUCCUGGAAUUCAUUUUCCUUACUUCCCCAUGUUUGGUAACAAUAUGAAACAGUAAGUCAACGGAAACUUAAUUCCGGUCAACAUAAAAUCACUGCUUUGAGAAAAAAAAGUGUUUUUCUUCUGUUAAAGAAAGGAAAACACUUUUCUUUUGGCGUGCGUAGCGCACGCCUGCCCAAUGAAUUAUUAUUCACUUGCUACAGUAGCAGUGAAUUAUAAUUCGCUGCUACUGUAGCAGUGAAUUAAAAUGCAAAGGUGUGGUCUGCUGCUCUGAAGAUGAAGACGAAGUCGAUUCUCUUGGUUUAUUUUUAUUUAAGUCUUGGGUUUUUGAUUAAAUCAAAGUUUAAUUAAGUCCUCAAUCUCAUUAAUUCUUCAAUUAAACUCUUGAUUUCAUUAAUUAAAAUAAUCUAAAAUUUAAUUAAAUCAAUUCUCCAAUUAAACCCUUAAUUUAAUUAAUUAAACUAGUCAAGAGUUUAAUUAAAUCUUUAAACUUCCAAUCAUGUUGCCCUUAACCCAAAUUUUAAUUCAUCCUUCAUUUAUUUUAUUUUUAUUUUUCAUCAUUUUUUUAAAAUAAUAAAAAUAAAAAAGGUCAAAAAUUGGGUUAUGACAAUUGUAAGUGAUUAAAUAUUUUAUAUAUAUUAGAUAAACUUGAAAAAAAAUUUAAUUCAUUAAUAAAUUAUUUUUCAGUUCAUUUUCCAUAACACAACCAAACACUGAAAAGUGUUUUCCAGUUCAUUUUCCAUAACACUAUCAAAUAUCGGAAAAUACUUUUCCGGAAUUCACUUUAAAAAAAAAACCACUUUCCUGCAAACAAACGGAGCCUUGGCUAACCGGGUUAGUUUAAUUUAAACAUACUCAUGAUUAGAGUUAUACAUGCAGCAAUUAAUCCAGAUUUAUCAAGGUUGACAGUAACUCAAUAUCACAAAAUAUAUAUAACUCAAUAUCACAAAUAUAUAUAUAUCCACGAAAUUAAAUCGGCUUCAGUAUUGAUUUGGUAAGUAACAUUACUUAAAAAAAGCUACCUUUUUUGUAAGUAUAUGUCUUUGUUUCUUGUAGUAGAGAAACACAUGUAUUUUUCAUUACAUAAUCAGUUUUUUUGAAUUUUAUAGGAAGCACUUGCGACGCCCGCACAUUCUUUUUUGGCAUCAUGUAAAAAAAAAAAAUGAUAUAUAGAACAAAGCAAAAGACAACUAUCUAGUUUCUUGCUUGUUGUAUUGUAUGUUUGUAUCAAAAGAGGGACAACAAGUUUGACCAGGUUCAUUGAAUGUAAUCAACGUACUCAACACAAUUUGUAGUUUACUUCUGUUUUUCAAACUUAGCCCAAUCAAAUCAAAAUUGAAAGACUUAAACAUUGCAGUUUUGAAACCCGAUUUGGUCUGGAAUCUGGUUAAUCCAGAGCUAGAAUCAAGCCAAGUUGAAAAAAAAAUAAGAAAAGAAAAAACUCGAUGUGCCCGACUAGUCAACCCAGGACUAGAAUGGGGCCGAGUUGAUGAACAACAAAGAAAGAAAAAACCCGGUGUGACCUGGUUGACCCAACGAGUUGACUUAGUCAAAAAUCUGGUUAUAACCCACUGACUUUUCUUUGUUUGUUUUUUUUUUACUAAAAAGAUGUCUUUUUGAUUUCUUUUAAAAGAAUUGACCCGGACAACCCGAUGACUUGAUCAAAACCUGAAACCCGGAUCUUAGACUGGGCCGGAUCUAAAAACUAUGCUUAAUAAAUUAACCCGUGAUUCUGCCAACUCAAUCAAAAUUUAAUUUGAUUUUUUAUUUUGAUUGACUCGAAUUAACAUGUUCAAUUCAUAAUUUAAAUUUUGUUGAGUACACAUAUAUGCUUAUGCUUGUGUGUGCAUAAAUAUCUGGAUGUAUCAAGUUUUGUAUUGUAUCUGAAAGUUUUAGUUUUUUUUUUUCAAGGAUCAAACUAUAAAUGAUGAGUUCUUGAGUGAUUUUUUCUUGCAAAAAAUCAAAUUGUGAAUCGACAAAAUUAGUUGACCUUGACUCGAUCCAUCAAUUCUGAGGGGAUUCGAUGAUCGUUUUAAGAUUUAAGGAAUCCAAUAUAACUCGUCGCUUUCUAAUAUAUAUUGAAGAAUCAAGUUUAUGGAUUCAAGUACACAUUCACAGAAUCAAUGAUCUGCGUGAGAGAAAAAUUUCCUGGUUUGUUAUUAUUUACUAUCAAAAUAAAUUUAUUUCCGACAUGGAUAAUCAAGGCAAAUAAUAUUGUCUUCAAUAAAUUACAAAUGAAAAGAUAUUGUAAUCUCAAAUAUUCUGCAUUUUUUCUAUAAUAAAAAUCACAGUUAUUAAACCCAACUUGAUAUGAUAGGUUGAUUUUGAACCCAUGUCUUAUCCCUUAAUCUAGAAUAAGCAUUUAAUUUUCAAUUUUAUUUUUUAAAAAACAACAACAGUAUUUUGGCUCUUGAAAAAAAUAAAAAUAAUAUUAUUUUAAUAAGUUUAUAUCAAUUUAUGUUAACAUAUCUAGAUCAUGACUAGAGUGUUUUUUUGAAUAAUUUUGCACAUCAAUUAAAAUUAAAUUUUAAAAAUAGACUCUUUUAACUUAGAAGAAACAUUUGAUUUUUAAUUUUUUAAAAUAAUAAAACAAUGUUGUUUUGAUUUAAAAAAAAAACAAAAGCAAGAUUGUUUUAAUAAAUAUGUGUCAUUUCAGAUUAUAUAUCCAACUUCUAAAUCAUAAACUAAAAAAGUGUUUUUGAACAAUUUACACGGUAAUUAAAAUUAGAUUUUAAGAACAUUCUUUACACAUCGAUUUAGUACACAGAAAAACUUAGUAAGGCUUUCUAUAUAAUUGGUCUUAUAUUUAAAUAAAAAAUAGAUAACAAUAACAAUAAUUAUAUAAAAUUACUUUCUUGUUUGAUUAAUGGGAUAUAAAGUAUAGUUUUAAAAUCCAGUUUGGCUCAGCUGGUCAACCCGGGAUCCAGGGCUGGAACCAGGUUGAAUUGAAAAAAAAACAGGGAAAUAAAAAACUCAGUGUAACCUGUCAACCCAAUAAAAAACCUGGUUGCAACCUGUUGAUUUUUGUUUUAAUUUUUUUUGUUUUUAUUAAAACAACGUCGUUUUGAUUUUUUUUUAAAAUUGACCCGGACAACCCGGUCAAAAUCUGGUAUUCGGGUCUUAGACCGGUCCAGAUCUAAAAACUAUGAUAUAAAGAAAAUUUUAAUUAUUACAUGUAUAUAAAUUAAGUUAUAAAGUUGAACUGAAUUAAAUACAGACAAGAUGCAGCACUCCAAGAGCACACGCAUGCGUUGACCAUGAUUAUGUCGGAUUGAAACCCAACAUUCACGCAAAAUAUUCAAAUCAUAUGGGUGCUAAUGUUACAUAAACAAUUCAUGAAUGUGCUGCGAAUUCAAUUGAUGUUAUCAUGAGGAUUUCAUUCACAAUAAAUAAAUCAAGUGCUGGUUAUUUAUUUAUUUAAUGAGGGAUGGUCGGUGCUCCUAUUUAAUUUUAAUUUCGAAACAUAUUUAAUUAAUUCUAGACAAGUAUAAUAAAAAAAAAUGAUGGAUACUCUGUUAAUAAUCUCUUAAAAAAAAUUAUAAAUUAGUUUUGGAAAUCAUAUGCUAGUUUCCUGAUCAAAUUGAUUAUUAAUUUUUUACGAGAUCGAGAAUUCUGAUUACAAUAAAGGAUAUCUUAAAAAAAUAAUUAAAUUAUCAUAAAGAAUCAACAGAAGACUAAUUAAGUUAUUAAAAGUACAGUAUGACUCAAUAUUAUUUUUUAUUAAAAAGAGUUCAACUAAUUAUUUUACUACGUACGAUCAAUUAUAAAAUCAUAAUAUACUCUAAAUAAAAUAUAUAUCAAAUGUGGCUUCAAACACAACAAUCAGGCGGCGAGAAUAAGAGUGAGUAAAAAGCUUGAAAAAUUGAUUAAAUAAAAAAAACUGAAAAAAAUAAUUAAAAAAAUUAAAUUAUAAAAAAAAAUUGAUUAGAAUUUUAAAAAAACUGACUGGUUCGGUUUCAGUUUUAUAAGUCUAAAAUCAAAAAAACCAAACCAAACCGAAAUAACCGGAAAAAAAACUAAACCAAAUAAAAAAAUUUGAGUCAAACCAAUUUGAACUGUUUUUGUUCUAAACAAACAAAAUCGAACUAAAAAUAAUUACUUCUCUAACAAAAAUAAUAGGUUAGCCAUGAAACACAAGUCAGUAGCCAAAAAAAGGGGCAUAAAUUAGUGGUAGAGUUAAACCACCGAUUGUUUUUCUGUGUAAAGACAAGGAAUUAUUAUUUUUUAAAAUAUUUAUAAAUUUAUUUUAUAUAAAACAUACUUUUAAAAAUAAUAUCAUAACAUUUUCCGCAAAAACUUUAAAGCUUAUAUAAUGAUUCGAUACAAUCACUGUUUAUAUGAUCACAUCAAACGAAUCUGCUAGCUUAGGCUAAUUCAAUGGACAUCACCUUCAAUGAUUAGGCAUGAGUGCUUUACUUUUUCCACCAUGAAAAUCUCUGCGAAAUCUAAUUGCUUUGACUCGUAUAGAGCUAAAUUAGUAUGAACGGGAGAAUUCUGCAGAUUUUUUUUUUAUUAUUGUAUGGAUUAUUGCUUUGAUAUUCAAGGCUGCAUUCAUAUUCCAACAUGUAAUGUAUGUAAGGUUUUGCCCUGCUUUAUAAUCAACGAGCACACUAAUUUUUCUCCUACUCUUGUGAAUUUUCUCAUGUCUCAUAUUUAAAAGUUUUCUUCUCAUUUUCUUGUUUUAUAUGUUUUGUUCCUUGUAUGCAUGUACCUUGAUGAAACCAUAUUGAAAGUUGUCUGCGGCUUUAGUGUUUUUAUUUUUUCUUUAUUUUUUAAAUUUAAAUCUUGAAAUCAACAUUUUAAAAAAGUAAAACUCCUUUUACAUCAUAUUUGUUUACAAGAUAAUCCGUGUUUGGCUUAGAAAAACAUAAAAAUAAUGUAUAUUUUAAAAUAACAUUACCGUGUAAACAAACAACCUCUUCAUAUGAUAAAAAAAUACAAGAAAUUAAUGUGUCGUUGUUAAAGAAGCUAUACAAGAGUCCUUCAUCAGAUAGAUUUUAGGCACAACAUUGAUCUAAAAGCUUUAGAUAUUGAGGUAGACUUGACAACUUCUAAUUAUAAGCUUUGUCUGAGAUGAGAACCUGGAAAGGACAUACAUAUUAAAACGAUCAUGUUGACCCUUGUUGAGCUUGCUAUGCAUAAACACAUUGCAGAGGCAUUUUUUUUUUUUGCAGAUUAUCAGGGAGGAGGAUCCUUGUCUAAUAAUUCUUAAGAUUGUUUGAUAAUAAAACUUAAUCUUGAUUCUCAGAAAUAUAUAAAUAAACCGAUUCAAAAAUAUCUGUAAACAUAAAAAAAAAAAAAAAACAGAAAAAUAUUUAUUUCCCUCUCAUGAACAAAUGUGUAUUUACGUACUCAUUUCUCAUAUUCAUAAAGGAUCACCAUCUUACAGAAAACAUAACAUCAAUGUACUAUAGUAUGUAUCAAGGGUAAUGUUAGGAAAUAACUUUGACAUAUCUUUUAUAUAAAGAAUAUAUAUCCUAUGUAUAACAAUUUACCUUUGUAUUCCUAGAUUGUAGCUAGUAGUAGUUAGUGUUGGUAAAUGUUGGCUUAAUUUAUAGGAGAAACAAAUGUGUGGGAAAGAUGUUCUAUGAUGGUCUGCUACUAUACACACACACACACUAACCAAUAUUAAUGAUAAUUCACUUCACAAAAUUAUCUUUUUUUCAUGGUAUUAGAGCUAGGUUAAAAUCACAAAUUCAUUAUCAAUGCACUCUAAUCUUUUUGUGUAGCUUCCCUUCAUCCUUUCUGUCAUCAUGGCUAAUGAAAAAAAUCCUUGUGUCGGUGGUACAUCAAAGCCAAAGAUUCCAAUCCUCUUUAUAGAUGUAUCAAAAACAAAUCUCUGCAACCCUUUUUUUCACUCAUCAUUUAGAUCAUCAGGUUUGAUGUUGAUUUCCAAACCUUUGAAUGGAGACAAUUAUUCAGUUUGGAAAAGAGUUAUAACCAUGGUUUUGAAUUCUAAAAACAAGUUAUGUUUUGUCAAUGAUACAAUCAAAUCCUCAUUAGAUAAAACAUAUCCUUGAUGGUUAUGCAACUUGGUCACGUUGCAAUGACGUGGUCCACUCAUGGAUCACCAACACCCUAAAUCUAGAAAUCUCAGAUAGUGUGAUUUAUUAUACUACAACUCAUGAAGUUUUGGAAGAUUUUCGUGAACGAUUCCCUUAAAGUAAUGCACCACGCAUCUUUGAAAUUCAACAAAAAAUUACUUAUCGUCAACAAGAACAACUCUCAAUCUCUGCAUAUUACACAAAAUUAAAAGGCUAGUGGGAGGAACUGACAUUUUACAGUGAUGCAUCUUAUGGAGCCUAACAAGAUCAACUAAAACUGAUGCAGUUCCUGAUUGGUUUGAAUGAAUCCUAUAGUGCUAUUCACGGGUAAAUUUUUUUAAUGAAUCCUCUUCGCUCUAUAUGCCAAGCAUACUCCUUUGUUUCCCAUGAAGAAAAAAAGAGACUUCUCGCUACACAUACAGGAUCCAUAAGUGAACCAUGUCAUUGCAUAAAGGAAAAAAUCAGAAAAACAUUUAUUUCCCUCUCUUGAACAAAUGUGUAUUUACAUACUCAUUUCUGAUAUUCAUAAAGGAUCACCAUCUUACAGAAAACGUGACAUCAAUGUACUAUAGUAUGUAUCAAGGGUAAGCUAGCGAUCUCUUUAUCACCCAACUACAAGGAAGCUACAGGUAUGAUCAAUAGUCAAAGGCAACCAGUGCUUGUUGGAUAUAUUAUUGAAUGAGAAGAAGAUCAGCAACUACUGAAUACAAUAUUCAUCAUCCCCCAAUUAAGCGCAAACCAUAUUUCUUGAUAACAUAGUAAGUACGUACUUGCUACAUGACUAGAGAAACAGAAAAUCAACAAGAACUAGUUCGUCCAAGACCAAAGACUAGGAAAUGGCUGCUCAUGAACAGCGGGCUCUAGCUCUUCUUGCUGGUUAACAUAAUAGUGGCCACUACUAGCACACAAUGCCGGUAGAUAAGGAUGGUAUGGAGAUGGUGGCGGCGGCUGCUGCAUAUUGUUCCAUUGAUUAUGAGGUUGCUGAUCAUAUCCGCUGUAAUGAUCCAAUGGCAUUGUUGAAUCUGCAGGCACCAAAGUUUCCUCCUCGUGCUGCUCCGCACCGGCAUUUGUCGAGCUUCCGGCUUCGAAAUCAUUCCUCGAUGAAUGUUGUCUCUUAAUACUCUCUAUCUCUUCUUGCAAACUUGGUUUUCCCUUGUAUUUAAUCUUGCAAAGCCUCCACUCCUAAUUGAUGAAGCAGACACGAGAAUUUGGGAUAUAAUUACUUAGACUGGUUAGCAAGGAAUUGCACACACACAAGAUAUAUUGAUCACUAGCCAGUACUACGUACCGUGGUUCUUGAUUCAAGGCUAUAUUCAUGCAUAAUCCAAUUAGUCUUGACGGCGUUAUUGCGGUUUCUUUCAUUGUCCUUGAACCUAUGGAAUGUCAAAGGCCUCUUGUUCCCAACAAGAAGUUGAUGGUCAUUAGCAUAAACUUUCUUGACAUGGCUUGUAGCUUUCCACCAUCCUCGACCGAGUACUUCCCUCGAAUCAUUUAUCUCCCUCUUACAAUAGUAGAAUCUCUCGCCAUUGCUUAAAGCCGUGGAUUGACUCCCUGUAUGUAAAAAUGUUGUAGAGCUUAUAAAAGUUAAAUAGAAAAUUUCCAUGGAUGGACAAGAUAAUGGAAUAUUAUGAUGCUAUCAAACUUGAACCCUAGACAAUACAGCUAGCAGAACUGUAGGUUCAAACCAUGCAUUUAACAUCAUUGCAGAGAAAUGGAAAGAAAAAACUUGAGCCCUACAUGCUAUAGAACAAAGAGAGUAGUAGUGCAUAUAUAUUACACACAUUCAAGAUCCUGUGGUUCACGCUCAUAAACAUUCAUUUCAAGAAUGAAAUGGAGUGGCAUUUCGUGGCCAGAAGCUUUUCUGUCUAGGACUUGGAUGAGCUCUUCGUCAGUGGGAUUGAACCUGAACCCAUGAGGCACCAUCUUCAAGUAUAAAAUGACCUAAUUUCCCUUUUUGUUUCAGAGACCUGAUUCUGUGAAAGAUGACCAGCAAUGUCGCUUCUUUAUAUAGAGGAGAGAAACUAAAAGAUGUAAAGAGGAAAAAGAAAGCACAAACAUUGAUAACACGACACAAGACGAAGAGAGAGAGAUGCUACAUUCUGCACUCCGCAAAAGAAAUCAUGCUGGGUCCAUAUUAGGAGACAAAUUACGUCGCAAGCAAUGACUUGACAAAAUUUAUAAUUAUGAACAUUUUGAACAAUGGAAAAACAAAAGGUAAAUAAAGUAUUUAUUGCUGUGAUUGUUCCGGAUUAUGUUUUUCAGUGCUUUUUAAAACUGAUUUUUACCUUAAAAUAUAUUUAAAAUAAUUUUUUUAUAUUAUUACAUUAAAAUGAUCAAAAACAACUACUAAUUUAAUAUUUUUUAAAAUAAACACAAUCAAAUACAGUUUCAACCACAAUACCAAACAAUCAUGCAAUAUUAUUAAAUUUAAAAUUAUAUCAUUUAAAAAUUAUAUAUAUAAAAAAUGAAAACAUCUACUAAAAAUAUUUUGUCUCAUUUACCAAAAAAAAAAAAAUUAAUAGAUAUAUUCCAUCAGUAAUGUUUGACAAAAAUAAAAAAAAUCUUGUAAUCCAGCGAGCAAGCUACUUUGAAACUAACUAGGAUCCGCAAGGCUCGGUUGAACUAGCAAAUCUACUCGUUGAAUCGUUUAGAAAAGAUCCUAUAUAGCUUUAGGUUCAUGAAUUUGGUAUCUCUAGUUAUCUUUUAAUUAAAAUUAUCCACUUAUCAUUUUAUCAUUUUAUAUUUUUUAGGGAUAAAUUAUGCUAGGGCUUCCUAAAUUACUGAUCAGAGAGCAAGUAAUCCGUAUCCAAUUUAUUGACCGUUAGAUAGUCGUCGUUGAAGAAAAUUGAAGGUAGAUUAGAUUUUUCAUUCAAACGGGGGUUGGUAUUUAUCAAAUGACUAGCACGUGACACGUAAAUUCAUGUCCUAAAUACUAUUAAUUAAUUUUGGAGUAAUUUAGUCAACAUUUAUUAACGCAUUUCAAAAGAACUUAAUUUUUUUAAAAAAUAUUUUUUAUAUCUCUCUCUCUCGAAGCGAGAAUUGUGAAAAUAAUUCUGCAUUAGAAUAGGUAAGAGGAGGGUGUGGUAUGGGGAUUGUUUUUUAAGUAAUUUUUUGUUGAUAUUAUUUAAUUUUUGAUAACAAAACAUUAAAUUAAUUUAAAACUAUUAAAAAAAUAAAAAAUAAAAAAUAUGGGUGGACCGCACCGUAAGAUGCACGCCGUGGAAAUGAGCCGGUUCUUCGAUUGUUCGCAUUCAAACUGUCAUUUCAAGGUAUAAAUGCAAAUAUUUGGAAAGAUUCAUCGUUGAAAAGUGAUGGGCUUGAUUGGCUGAGUGAGCCAUCAUAUGAUCUUCGCCAGAUCCUCAUGGGCUCGAAUUAAACGUGCAUGCAUGGGACCAUUCGUCUUCAUUCAGCUGCUCCUAUUAUAUUGUGCCACCAUCACUAUCUUAUCUCUCUGUACUUCCUUAAUUCUUAUAUGACUUUCCCUCCAUUUUCUAGAUCAUCAGAAAUUAUUACGCCCAAGAAUAUGUAUGUAUGUAUGUAUAUACAUAUUAUUAACAUACAGAAAUCUAUAUUGAUCUGACAAAAAAAAUAUAUAUUAAGAUAUUAUUAACAUAUUAGCCCUUUAAUAUUAUAUAAAAAGAUUAUCUCUAUGUAAUAGCUUAAACUGUUAGGUGAUGUAUCAAGAUAUGAUUUAUAUUAUUCUCUAACACACCCUUUCAAGUGAAAGCUCUUUGGGCUUGAAACCUGUACAUGCCUAUAUUAUCUCGUGCUUGAUUUUUUAUCAAAUAAAUGGGAAUGAUGAGAUUCGAACUCGUGACCGUUUGGUCAUUAAGGCUCUGAUACCAUGUCAAAGAACCAUCCAACCCAAUAGCUUGAGCUGUUAGGUAGAUCCUAGGAUAUGAUUUAUAUUAUUUUCUAACACAUCCUUUCAAGUGAGGGUUCUUUGGGCUUGAAACUUGCACAAACUCACAUUAUUUUACGCUUAUUUUUUAUUAAAUAAAUGAGGAUUGUGAGAUUUAAACUCUUGACUACUUGAUUAUCAAGAUUCUGAUACAAUGUCAAAAAACCGCCUCAAUCUAAAAAUUUAAGUUGUAAAUAAAAUGAUAAAAUAUGAUUUAUAUUAUUUUUAAAAUAUAUAUAAUGUCAUGACACGUUGUUUUGCUUCUAGAUAGCCUAUAUUCAGAGUGCUCGGUUUUUGUCAACGUUUCGUCAUUUCUUCGAAGUUUACAUGCUUUAAUAUUCAAAUUCAUCUUCUUUCAUGAAAAAAGAUCAUUAACCCUUUAAUUUUCAUGUAGUGAGAUUUCGUUUUCCUUUCCUUUAAUAAUUUUAAAUCCCCAUCCAAUCCAUUGGUCAAGAGUUUCUGGUAAAAAAUUAUGAUAAAAUCUUUUGCUGCGAUCACUCCCUCUGGCUGGGGAAGACAGCACAAUUGUGGUCCACAGACAGCCAUUAAAGACUGUAUCAGCAAACAGAUUCUUAAAAAUAAUGGUCUCUUUCACAGUGGAUGGAUGAAGCAUCUUGUUAGUGUCCAAGAAACAUUGAUUGGAUCAUCUAUCCGUAUAAUAAUAGUGUUUAACUGUUAGAUUGUGGAGCUUUGCCACCAGACAAAAUUGGAUAUCUUGAUAAGAUCUCAAGGAGUUCACUUCGCUGAAAUAAGCUGCUUGCUUUCUUUUCUACGUAUUUGGAAGGUGUUUUAUAUAUGUUAUUUUUUAAAGUGUUUUUUUAAUAUAUUAAAAUAAUAUUUUUUUUAUUUUUUAAAAUUUAUUUUUAACAUUAAUACUUCAAAAUAAUCUAAAAAUAUAUUUUUAAAUUUUUUUUAACUUGUUUAAAAUAAAAUCUCAAAUACCAUUUGACAAUACAGUUUAUUCAGAAAUUGCACCGCAAUAAAAAUAUUAUUUUUAAUGUUUUUUGUCGAAAAAGGAUACUAAAUAUAUUUUAUCAUAUUAUUAACAUAUUGACCCUUUAAUUUGAUCUAUCUUAUAGCAUAUUGAAAUAAGUUAUAAAACUUAAUUUUUAAUCAAUUUAAUUUAAAAAAAUCAAUUAAAAAAAUCAAUUAAAAAAACAAAAAAUAACAUGAAUCAACCUAGUUUAAACUAUCAAACCCGCAACCUAAAUUAUAUAUAAAACUAUAAUAAUUCAAUAAAAAUUAAAUUAAAAUAAAUUAUAAAACUUAAUUUUCAAUCAAUUUAACAAUACAUCAUUUUUACAUCAUAGACAAUUUCCCCAAUCAAUCGUACCGACACAACACUCAGAUUAUCAAAAUUAAUUCAACACAAUGUUCUACUAAUGCACGUCACGUAUAUAGAUGAAAAUGUUUGAAUUUUCAUUGGUUAGCAACAAUAAAGAGUCAAAAUUAAGAUUUGACUUCUCCAUUGUGGAAAUUAAAGGAAGAAAACAUGAAAUUGCGAGUGGAGACGUGCAUGUUUAUAUAUAGCCUGUUCAUGUUUAUUUAAUUUGUUUUUUUCAAAUAACGAAUCGAUUUAAAUCUUUGAAACGACUUGUGCAUACGAGGAUAUCUUCCACGGUCAAGAAGCAAGAUUCCCACCUUGUGGAAUUUUUUGCAAUCUGAUAGACUAAAUCUUUCCAUUUCAUCAAUGGAUAUGGAAUCAUCUCUAGAUUUGCCAUAUCUUGUGACUGUGUUGUUGUCACCUUGUAGAAUUGUUCAAAAAACAAACAAGAUGUGUACGCAGAGAUCUUCAAUCUUGAAAUUCUUCAAGAAGAUUGGGUCCUCCAGUGUUUUUUCUCUUGUUGCUUUUGCUCUUGUGGGGACAAAUGGCUGCAGGCAUUAACAUGGGCAGCUGGAGACACAAAGCAUCCAUUGCUCUUUCAUUUGUGAAACUGAACAUCCAUGCCCGAGCUAACUAAAGUAAGAACAUGACAACCCUGAGCCAGUAUGUAGCUAAACUGAUCAGGUUUUAUAUUUACUUUUCAAAAGUCACCAGUUUAAAUCUCAUAAAUUUCAGGAUCACUGGAAGCUUAUUUGAUCGUUGAUUUCAGGAUCGUGGAUUAGUUAAGAUGGAUACAAACUGGCUCGAACAUUCAUAUUAAUCUAAAAAAAAAUAUGAUAAUUUAAGAGAUUGUUUAGUAUUAUUUUUAACUUUAGUUUCUGUCUUUACUUCUUUUAUUUGUUUUCUAAGUAAUUAAAAGUUGUUUGAUUUGCUAGUUUUUAAAUCUGUUUGGAAAUAUGGUUGAAGUUGUUUUUCAAAAUAUUUUUUAUUUAAAUAUACAUCAAAAUAAUAAUUUUUUUACAUCAUUACAUAAAAAAACAAAAAAAAACACUGAAAAUAUUAAUUUCAAUACAACCAAACCCCAACCACGACCAAACCCUAGAUUUCAUGAACUUGAUCCUUGCCAGACAACCUAGCGACCCCACCCUUACCAUCCCGAAUCCAACUUAGAAAAUAUUAAUGCCUUUUACCUAACGUAUCAAAUCUGAUUUAGUUUGUAAAACAGUGCCAAAUAGUUUUGAAAAUUUUUAAAAACCACUUUCUUGUUUCAAAAGUUUUUCAGAAAAAACUUGCAUGAAAACUAUAAAAUAAAAAAAGAUAGAGACAAAUAUCCUAGACUAACCAAGUCAAUGAAGUCAAUGGCUCUAUUAUAUUAAUAGGAUUUUAAUUACAAUACAGUGGCUAGUUAUGGGAAUUAAAUUAAAAAAAAAAAAAAACAAGAUUAGGUACGCUAAUUAUGUCAAUGUCGAGAUUUACAUGCCCUUAAUAAAACAAAAGGAGUUCUAUUGUUUCCUUCUCAAAGACAUCUCCCGUAUCUUAAGUGGAUUGCAAAAGGAAGAGAAUAUCUCAGCAGAAUCAUAAUGCUUUGAUUAGUUAUGCUAAGUUGAUAGUGAUUGACUCAUUUCUCCCUCAGUGAUUAACUUAUUAUAAGUAAUCAUGUCGUCAAGGUUGUAUUCAGACAGAGAUCCAUUUUAUAAUCAACUCAGAUAUGGUUGCUGUCCAGUAGGAUCAAGACAUAGGGUCACACUGUCUUCCACUACCUCCCCCUCCUCCUCCACC